RNAcentral lists this long non-coding RNA (72848 nucleotides) under Cucumis sativus (cucumber). Its description in RNAcentral is "long non-coding RNA (CSAT_LNC001682)". The record is from RNAcentral. Lineage: Eukaryota; Viridiplantae; Streptophyta; Magnoliopsida; Cucurbitales; Cucurbitaceae.
CACAAUUUCAUAAUCAUUUGAAACAGAAAAAUACACUUCAAACAUAGUAUAAGUUUGAAUUCAAAAUCUCUUUAAAAAAUAUUCUUAUCAUUUCAUAUCAGUACGAUCUUAAAAGAAAGCUUUUAACAUUUAAAAACAUUUAAUAUAGAAAAACACUCAUAAACUUGGUUGCUUUGGAAACAAAUGGCUUUUGUACUUCCUCUUCUCAUAUAGUCCUUUUAGCACAACAACUUAACACUCACCUUUCUCUUCAGUCUUCCCGAGUAACACUCCCUCACAUUCUGAUUCCUUCCACUAUUUAUAUUAGUCCUUAAAUGGGUUAGUCACCCUUAAACUCUCAAUAACUUGUCGGUUCCUAUUCUUAGUGGUGCACGUGUAAGCACAAUGUUUAACUUAAUUAUCAUGCUUAGCUUAAACUCCUACAUGUGGCCCAUCAAGUAUCCUUAGGAAAUUUUCCAAAGUUUCCUUACUUUCUCUUCAUCUCGCAAUGAACUCCAAACAGCUAACUAGUCUUAAAGGCCAAAAGUCUUAUCGCGUUGUCCUGCUCCUUCACCCAACAUCAACUUUUCAUCAUAACCUUCCAUUCAAAACGCCUAUUCUUAAACACAUAGUCAAAUUUUAGCCUUUCAUAGGUACGGGUCGCACAAAUUCAUAGGAAAUGUGCUCGAGUGGAAGAAGAUAAACUUGAUGAGGUUUACCAUAAUGUGGAAGAAGUGACUCCUAUAACAAAAUCCUAGAGCCAGAUUGGUUGUGGUAGUUUGAUGAUGAUGAUGCCAGCGUUUGGCCUCAGAGACACAAACGAGGCUGUAGAGAACAUAACAAACAGGGCCGUUGGAUGUCAAUCCAUCUUCUUCAUAUAUGGAUGUCAGUCCAUCGCCUUCAUACAUGCAUGGACACAAAUGAGGUCAUGGAGAACAUAACGACUAUUUGUACUAUAAAGCACCUACAGAGGUAUCAAAAUUCACAAGAGAACCAAUAAGAACCAAAUAAUCAAAAGGAGUAAGAAUAACAUAGAGUUUAAAGUUGGCCAUGACAAACAACUCAAAAUCGACAACGUAUAAGUUGAAACACAUUAAUUUUCUUUUAAUUUUUAAAUGGAUGUAAAACAUUGAUACUAGUAUUUUAAUUUAUAUUUAAUUUUUUUCAUUUAUGAAUAAUUAAAAAAAAAGUUAAACAAUCAUGUUCUUUUUUUAAUUAUUAAAAAAUAUAAUUAUAAACUUUCAUUAAAUUUAAAAAAAUGGAAGAGAAUUGGGUAAAGAUUUAUUAAUUACAAAUUUUUAAAAAUAAGAAAAUUGAAAAACAUGGGUCAAGGUAAAAAAUAUGAUGUGUAGGUUGGGUUUUCAACCCAUCAUCUUUGUUGAAAAUUAAAAAAAGAUAAAUGGUGGGUAAGUUUAGUUAAGCCCAUAACAAAAAAAAAAAAAAAGUUGUGUAUAGGUGGUUGGGGUUAACCUACUUAACAACACUAGUACAAAUUUGGUUUUUAAUGAUACUUGAAAUAAAAAGAAAAUAGGUGGAAUUGAAUAAAAUGUAUCGUUAAAAAUAAAAAAUACAGAUUUUUUCUUGACACACAUUUUUGCGUUGUUAACUAAUGACAUAAUUUUUGUGUCAUUAAAAAAAAUUUCCUUAAUAAAAAGUGCACCUAUUUCCAAUAUUAUUGAAUUCCCCUUUUGUAGGUUCUCCCUCUCUCGCAAAAAUCCUAGCACAUGGUCAGCUGCGGUAAAUCUGGAACUCACGAAAACGCUUUCCUUGCGUCCAUCGUGGUCUAGUUUGUCGGUCAGUGUAAUUCUUCAAAAGAAAUCCUUCACAGUAAGACGGUAACUUUGAAAUGUAUGAUAGAAAAGAGAGUGUAUAAGUCACGAGUUGAACACAUGAAUAAAAAAGAGAGUGUAUAAUCAUGGGUUGCACAAAUCUUUAAAUAUUAUGUAAAUUAGCUGCCCCAAUAUAAUUUUUUUUAAAGAAAAAACAGCAUAUUCAUCCAAAUUUUCGUUAAUAAAAUGUCACAUCAUCAAUAAAUUUAUUUAUCAAGGGUAAACAUACAAGAGAGCAAUUUAAACAUAGUUUUUAAACCUCAAAUGACUCACUUUUAAGAACUCAAGGACAAAACAGACACACUCAAUAUAGACCAAGGGAGUGCAUAUUGUCCUCCUUGAUUUUAUUCACACCUUUUCUACUUUUGUUCCCCUCAUAAGACCUGAUGAUGCAGACCAUGAUGCUGUGGUUAGUAGACAAGAGUUUCUCAUGGGCUUAACAGUGUCCAUGUCUUGGUAGAUUGUACAUCUAGCACUUCAGCUUUACGUUUUUCUAGGGUAAGUUGAGUAGAUGUUCUUACUUGCUCUUCAUAUGUUAGAUUGAUUUUUCUUCCUUGAUCCGUAAUAGAAACGUCAUGUUCAAUGACAUUAAAAUACGUAUGUAUUUGGUCAGGUGGCGUUUUUAUAUUUGCAAAUGCAAACCUUCCCGCUGUCUCUAACGUAAAUGUGUCAAUAAAAGUGUCGUCGGUUGGGUUACUCAUCGUAACUAUAUCUUAUUGAUAUUUUGAAGCUGAUAAAAAUUUUAUAACUCUGCCUUAUGCUCUCCACCCAAAGUUGUAGCUUAAUAUUUAUAGAGUUAUGGGUUGAAGGAUAGACAUGACAGAAUUAGAAUUUGAUUCUUUGACUGUAUACUUUACAAAUUCUUUAACUUUGAUAUCUAUCUAAGAGUUCAAUAGUUAAACAUCUGGUCAGUGUGCUGUCUGGAUUAUAUAGAUAGCUCUGAAUCAAUUCCAUCUAGCUCAAAAUAUCCUUAGUUAUCUUAACUAAAGGAUGUAAGGGUUUGUCCAAUAAGUAUUUUUUUACUUCAAAAAAUCCUAUUGAACAUACAAACACAUACAUAAAUCAAACAAUUCGAUUCCAUUUGGAUCAAUUUUAGUUUUGCUUGUGUGGAUAUAUGCAAUCCUUAGUCGAAUGUGCAGAUAUUCCUCUUGGUAUUUUAUUUAGCAUGAAGUUUAGUCAAUAUAACCUAUGUUCUUUAUUUUGUAGUAGCACAUACUCAUCAAUAAAAAGAGAUAUACUAUAUGCUAACUAUGUGUCUGUAAUCAACAAAAGAUAAAAUAUUUGUAGAUGUAGAAUUGGGUAAUUAACAUGAAAUUAUACCAUGCUGUUCACAAAGAUUGUUCACACUUUUGUAGGAAACACAAUAGAAUAGAUUUCUAAAAUAUAAAAUAUUUAUAAAUACCUAAAUAAAUAGCACUUUAUUGGUAUGUUCUAAGAAAUAAUAAGACCUAUGUCAUCACAUUUUUUAAAUUGUAAAAAUAGCAAAUUUAAAAGUGAAUAGUCUUCUAAUAGCCUUUUGAUAACCCUCUAAUUGUCGUCUGAUAUAUUUAAUUACUUGUCAUAUUUGUCAUAUUUAUAAUAUAUAAAAAAUAGGUGCUAUGGACGACUCUUUUCUAAUUUUGUCUGUGUCUAUACGAUACAAUUUUUCUAUAAUUUAGUCAAUAAACUUUUAAAAAUAAGACUUUUUAUCCCUCUUGCUUUCAAAUUUGUAACAACUUAUUCUAAACAUUAACAACAAUUUAGUCCAUAUUGUUUGCCAUUUGUGACAAUUUAGUGUUAGUGUUAACUUUCAUUAUCUAAGAACAUAGUUUUUAUAGUUUGUAUAAAAAUUGAUUUUCAAUAAAUUUAUGAGUUUACACGUAGAUAUUUAUUUCAGUAAAUUUUAAUAGUAUUUGUAACCAUAAGGACCAAAUGGUUACAAGUUGUAAAGUAUAUAAAUAUUUAUAGUUACUUAUUGUUCAAAGAAAAAAUUACUACCAUUUUAUAAAAUAAAAUGAAUUGUUACCCCUACUAGAAAAUGAGUGUUAUUUUAAAAGAAGUUUUUUCAAACUCAAGUACCACUGGUCUUGAGGUAUAAAAAGAACGUUAGUUUUAAAAAUGUUUGAAAUGUUAGUUUGCGACUACAAGAAAGGUCAAGAAUAUUGACAUUUGAAAUUUAAGAAAUAUAAAAAAUAUCAUUAUUCGUGACAAUAACAAGUAUACUUUAUAUGGUGACAAUUGAAAAAAAAUGGUUGUUUCUAAAAAAGAUUGGAAAAAAGGGGUAUUUUCAAAACUAUUUAGGGAAAUUGAGUUUUUUUUUUUUUUUGUCAUUUUGUUGAAUGAGUUCCACUAACUAUAAAUUAUUAUUAUUAUUAUUAUUGUUUUAUUUUUAUUAUUAUUAUCGUAACUUCAUUCUUUAAUUCCAUUUUUAAUAUGUUUAACUCUCAUUUUUAUGUUUUAAUGAUUUUUUUAACUUUAUAAUUUUUUAUAUUGUAUAGAUUCAACUUUUUAAUAUUCAAUUUUGUUACAAAAAUAUUUAAUAAUUUUCAAUUCAUACAAAUUAGAAAUGAUUUGUUAUUAAAAAAAGAAAGAUAACAUGUGGUGGAAGGAUAAAUUGAGAUAGAAUAUAAAUCAAUAACAAACACAAAUUGAGAUAAGAUAUAAAUCAAUAAUAAAUUAAUUGUGCGUGAGUGUAUAUACAUGUGAUUAAAGAAUAAAAAGUAAAAUAUUUUUAUAAUUUUAUAAAAAUAAUUUUUUAAAUAAUAAUUUUUACAUAAAUUUUGUUAUUUUGUUAUUUUAAUAUUGUAAUAAUUAUAAUAAAGAUAAUAAUAAUAAUAAUAAUAAUAAUAUGAAUUAUAUAAAUUGACGGGGCUCACUGACUUUAUUUCCCCGUUUUCCGUAAAAAAAAAGAAAAUAACAUGGGAUGCGUCUCUUGAAGAGACACAUUCUAAUAAUGCCAAAACAACCACCCCUUUUACUAAAUAGUUUUGAACACCUCUUUUUCCUAAUUUUUUUAAAAAAUCAUCCCCACUUUUUAAAUCACCCCUUUAUAUGUGAAAAACGUGAAAAUGUUUUUAUACUUGAUACGAACUUGAAGUAUCCACAGUUGGUGCUCCUCACUUGUUAAUGACACUACGAUAAGAAAACCAAUAAAGAAUUUAUAAGCACAAGUAUGGUUGUUGGUUAACAAAUAGCCUUCUCCAGAAACUGUAUUAGUCAUUAUAAAGUGAUAAUUACAACGAUUGAGAAAAACAAAUAUCAUAGAAAACCAUAGCAAGCUCCGUCGAGAUACAGUCAAAAUAGUCAUGUAUCAUAUCAAAUAACUUGUACCCCACACCAUAAGUCACAUAUCAUAACCAUACCUGAUGUGGAAUCAUCUUGAUGCAUCCAGCUUUAAAACUGUGCACGCAGACCAUGCUCCCAAAAGCCUAUAACCACCCCCCCCACACGACCCAAAGCCUCUGUGUGCACGAUGAUGGAUCCAAAACACAUAUGUCACAUUCAAAUCGUAUACUGGACCUCCUCAAACCCCCCACAUAGAGAAUCGAGAGACCAUAGCUCAUGGUACAAUUAUAAAAACCAUAAAACAUGUGUUAGGACUAUAUUUUACGUAUUUUUUAGUGUUUAACUCUUCCCAUAUCACUCUAUUUAAUCACUAAGUUCACCAUUUUAUAGAAAAUAUUCAUCUACACAUCACAACAAACUUAACACAACAAAAAUCGCUCAAAAUCGGAGCUAAAACAAACAAGAAUAGGCCAAAAGAAGUGCAAAUGACAAUUUCAUAUAAUUUCGCUAAAAUAGAGCGCUACAGCGCUCCAACUGAUGGAAAGCAUACAAGUGCAGCGAAAUUAUGGAUCAAAAACUCUAUAUGCAUAAACUACCCUAAUUAUAAUGAAUUAGGGUUAAUCGAAAACGUACCUUUGAAGCUUUCUGAAAUCCUCUAUAUCUCUUCAUGAACUCAAAUCGGGACCACCGUUAGGGUUAACCUACUCAUCUCUGGACUUAAAAUCGGGUUGGGAGAGGAAUGGAAAAUUUGAGGAGAACUUUUGGUUUGAGAUUUAAUUGGGAGAGAAAAUUAGGUUGACAUAAUUUUUGUAAUUCAUAAAAAAAAAAAAAAAUUGCCAAAAAUUUUCGCCAAAUUAAAAAAUGUCCUUUAAAUAAGCUAAUUACAUGCCAAAUUGCAUGUAAUUAGUUUCUUAACUCUCAACACCUAAUAAUCCACUAAUAGUGGGCUAGGCGUUUACAUCUUAUAUAUAUUUCUUCUUUGCUCUUUCACCUCGUUCGAAGAUUAGGGAUUUUAAGAAAGAUUGGGGUUGUUGUAGGUAACGUACUCUUUUGUAUGCUAUAUGAAAAAUUUCUUCCACCCUGGUUUCACCUUGUUCAGUUCUUUGAUAUUCACUUGUUGGUUAACAGAAUAAAGAUGUUGGUUUCGUUGAAAAUCAACAGCAGAACAUUGUUGAUACUUGAUGCCACUGAUUUGCUACCACGUCUAGCAACAAGGAUAUAUAUGAAUAUUAAGUUUAGGAGGUAGUAGUAUAGACCUAAAUCCGCACCUAGUCUUUUUAUUUACGUUUGCCUUUUUCUGAACUAAGUUUAAUGUUGUAUUUGCAGAAUGUGUGUUUUUUAGUUUGCUGGACAUUCCUCUAUAUCAUGGUUGGAAAGUUGAUUCACCUGUUCUUAUAUAUUUUCUUUCUUCUCCUUACCUAUCAUAAGUUUAAUUAACAAUACUGUAUGGUUUCUUGUGCUCUAUGUUGGUUUUGUUGUCCCUAUUCUUGAGUUGUAGGCAUGUGGCUUGCUUUUAUCAGUGUCUUUUUUAACAAAUAACGAAAAUUUUCACUAAAGAAAUGAAAAGAGCCUAAAACGUAAAAGAUACAAACUCAAAAGGAACGAAAAGAAAUUAGAAAACAAAGUUUCAAAAGGAAGUCCAAAUGGAAGCAUGGAGGCAGGCCAAUAAAAGAGUUAGAAAUCACCAAGUAUUUGAGAAUGCAAAGGCAAGGAAAUGCUUGAUAAAACCUUAUGGAUGUUACAUUUUGGCAUCUCAAGAGAGAACCCUCUACAAAUUGAAAAUGCCGAGAAAUUUGCUUUUUAGCAAUUGGGUUUCUUGAGAAUGAUAUUUUUGGUUUUAAGCUUUCUCUUCCUAACAUUCCUAUAGGCCAUAACCAUGAACUAUAUACAAUAGACAACUAGUUUUAUUUACUUUUCAAACUUUAAUGACAAAUUGUUGAUGAUGUGGUUUCAAAUCAUCCAUAUCUCCAUUGGUUUUAAAUUAUUAGUAACUAUGUUUUUAAAAUUUCAUAUGGAAAUUGAGAGAAUAAAGUUGGUGCCAUUCGACAAAGAAGCCUACCCUCAGUCGCUACGUUCUAAAAUAUCAUCACCAAAGAAAUCUUUUGCUGACAUCAUAACCAUCAUAUAUAUGGUCUAGUUCUCGAGAGGAAUACAAUUUUGGUAUUGGUUUUUUCAUAAUAAGGUUAGCUUACUUUCUGUGUGACUUUGUUUCUGGUUAGAUUUUGUUUUCUACCUUCAUUUUGAUAGAUUUUGCCACCACAAAUAGAAAAAAUAACAAGGUUAGCUAACCAUGUUUUCUAUUUACUACUUUUUUUUUUGUUUUUUUUUUUUGUAAUGUGUUAGAAUUUUUGCUUUGAGAAGAGUUUACAAAAGAAUAAAAAUAUUCAUGAAAUAUUUUAGUCCGUUAGGACUAAGAUCUAUCCUACUUUUAAUCACUUCAUAAAUUUCAUGCAAUUUAAUUUUAUUGUCAGCAAAACCAAAACCCCAUUUGUAUUACUUUUUGUACAUCGAUUUAUCAUUGAAAAAUACUAUCGUAGGCUCCGUGUGAUUCGACUUUGGGCUUAUUGCUAUUGCAAUAUUAUUGUAGUAGUUAAAAGAGAUAAUCACGUGAGAAUGACAAAUUUUGAAUAACAAACUGAAAAAUACAGUGUAUUUUACCCUUUUAUAUGGGACAAUACAUUUUUUUAUGGAUACAAUGUAUUUGCAUAUGCAAAGAAUGGGUGAAAUAUCAUACAGUCACAAAUACAGUGUAUUUGUAAAGUAUAAUAAGUGUUGAAAAAUCUUAACUAAUUUAUGAUAUUUUUGGGAUUGACAAGAUUUUUCCAAUAUUUUCUAAAUAUAUGCCUAUAAUCCACAACAUAUUUUUAGAUUUUUAGUAUUUAAAUCAAAUUAAUUAAUAUUUAUUUAUUUAAUUCAUUAGACUUAUGUUUGAAUAAUGAUUUUCCCUGGAAUUGGCUAAGAGAAUUUCAACCGUUUCGCUGAUUCAUUAUAUUUCAUAAUAUUUUGAAUUCAAAUAUUAUAUCAUAUUUCUAAAACAAUUACAAACAUAAAAUCAACAUUUUUGUAUUAUCUAUAUUUUAAAUUAUUUUUAAAAAUUAUCAAAUAAUACAUGGUACAUAUAGUUAAUAAUAAAUUUUUUAAAAGAAUUAACAUCUCCUAUAAUCGUGUUAAUGAUGAUUAUCCAUUUAUUUUGGUUGAUUUUGUUUAAAAAACUUAUUUUAUUGUGCCAAUUGUGUCGAAUUCAAAUUUUAGAUAAUACCCCUAAAAUAAUAACAAAGAUAAAUUCACUAGGUUCGAUUCUUUAUUAAAUAAUAUACAAUAUAUGUUUUUAAUAACAAUUUGAAUUUAAAUUUUAUAUUAUCCCCUAACAUCCUAAAUUUAAAUUCAAAUCUUACCUAACAUUCCUAAAAUAAUGACAACUAUAUAAAUUCUUAAUAACAAUUAAAAUUUAAAUUGUUAUAAUUUAAAAAGAUAUAUUAAAAAGUAUUUAUAAAAAAUUUAUUAAAUAAUAUAUAAUAAAAACUUGAAUUAAAAUAUUUUAUCAUCCCCUAAAACCUAAAACUUUGCUAAUUUCCAUUGCCCACUUAUUUUGGUUGAUUUUUAUUUUAAACUUAUAUUCUUGUGCCAAAAAAUUAUACUAUAUAAUUGGCGUUUUUCACAUUGGAAUCACUAGUUACGUCUAGCAUGUAGGAAACGCUUUCCUCUGAUCUGAGUUCUUUGCAGAGUGGUUGGGCGAGAUCGUUCUGGAUGUCGGCGAGGACUACUCUGGCGCCGUGUUAAAUGAACAAUAUGGUGGAGGAUUUGCCAAAUUCACUUGACGACACCAGCGAUGGAAGCGACAUUGCCGUUUAAUUUGCAAAAGGAAAUGAAAUGAUGAAACAUGGGAUUUUGAUUAUUAGUUGAUGGAGAUCAUCAUCAGGGCGCAGGGGAAGGGUAAAUUUACCAUUAGGAAGAAAUACUGGAUUGGUCCAUGGUGGUAUGAUCUGAAGCAAAUGAAGAUUGUGAUUAGGGAUAUUUGAAUUAGAUUGGAAGAGUGAAUUUUUGGGUAUUUAUAUAAACUCAACUACCAUGAAUAUGAGCUUUCAGUUUUAAAAAAUAAUAUGGGUUAACAGAAAGAGCAAGUUGACCAUGUGUACCAUUGGAAGAAACUUUAUUGUUUCAAAAAAGACAAUUAUGAGAAGGAAGUGUGAAGAAGAAGAGAGAAGCAGAGAAUGAAGAGAAGGUAUGUUUUCUAGGUUGUACUUCAAUUCAUAAAAUGUACUAUAUUUAGUAAAUUCAUAUAACCUUGCUGAACAUGAUAAUACUAAAAGUGAACCAGAUAACAAGACGAAGAUGAAGAACAAGAUGAGACAAACGUGAAUGAAGAAUAUAGUUCAGGGACGAAAGAAACAAGUGAAACAAAUGAAGAAUCAAUAGAGAAUAUAAAGAGAGAAAAUGAUACGCCAAAGGGAAAGAAGGUAACGGUUUGUAGCAUCGGAUAAAUGUAAAAGUUAUAUGGAAUUUUGCUGCCAAUUUCCUUAAGAAAGAAAGGGCAAAAGAGGAUAGAAAACGGAAAUGGAAAGCACCAAUGACAAAAGAAAAAGGUGAGGUAUGUGUGAUAUAGUACUUAGUAUAUAUGAAUUAUGUAUACCUAAAAUACAAAGUAUGUGGUUGUUGUUUCAUAUAAAAUAUAUUGUAUUUUGUGUAAUUAUAUUGUAUUUGUGAAUAUUUGUUAUCUAUGAUCCCAUCCAUUCUGUAAUAUAUUGUAUCUAAUUGAUGUAAGUUACGUAUUUGUGUAUUAUGUUUGGAGUGUAAUGGGUUAUGGAGUCGGAUACUUGAAACUGUAGCUAACUUAUAGAUUUUGUUCGAUUGUUUUGUUGUUUGGUUUAACUGACUUAUAGUUUUACAUUGCUUUGUACUUCAAAUUAUUUGUGAAUAUCUAUUGUCUAUGACUCCAUGUGUUCUGAAAUGUGUUGAAUCUGAUUGUGGUGAAUUAUAGUGUAUUUGGGGACGAAACUUGAAACUCCAAAUGUUUCUGCAACUGAUAAAAGGUUUGAAGGGGACGAAAGAUUUCAAGAAUUUUUUUAGAUGGAAUCUACGGAAGCAGAAGUUAGGAAAUCUACAAUUUGUUUGGCUUUGAAGAGUUUCAAGGGUUUCAAGAAUGUUGUUCGGUGACCCUCUUUCCCUCAACCUUUGAAUACUUUAAGUGCUUGAGAAAGGUUUGAAAGAUGUGAAGAGAUUGAUAAUGUUUGAAUCCUUGGACAUUUGAAUGUGCCUGAACGCCCACAAUUUGAAGAAGAUAUGAAUUGUGUGUGGGGAGUUUGAUUUAAUUAUAGAGUAUUUGUGAUUUAUUAAAUAAUUGUAUUUAGGAUUCUAGUUUUUAACUUAGGUAUGCGCAGUUAAGACAUUGAUCCAGCAAUUUUUAUUCCAUAUUUUUUUAUUUUAUCAAUUUAAAUAAAAAUUUGUCAUUUAUCCAAAGUAAACAUUUUAUUUUGUUAUUCUUCUAUCAGUCCUAAUUAAUUUUUAUUGAGUUCGAUGAAUUAAAAAUUUUAUUUUAUUUGAAGAAAGUUUGUGGGCGACUACAAAUUUUUCUGAGUCAUUUUUGUACAAAUGUUUUGUUUUUAUUGAAGAUAUUUAAAAACAAUAUGGUCACGACAUAUUUAUAGUUGGUAUCAGUUUGUAAUUAAUUUGGAACCCUAAUACUAGGGUUGAUACAAAGUCGUAAAUUUUGAAAUUUGUCGUAGGAAAGGUAAUCCAUGAAAAUUGUUAUUUGUUGGAAGAAUUUUAGUUCAUUGAACCUUGUAUUCAAGACAUCAAAUUGUUGUAACACAGUUAAGGAUUAGGAAAGAUGUGUGAUAUUAUUUAGAAGUUUAAAGACUAAGUACAUUACAUAAAAUUGGAAAGAUGUGAGCAUGCUGAUCAAUUCUUUUGACCUCCACAAUCAAAGAAACAAUAACAAGCAUAGAUGGUUUGAGAAGGAUUAGUUGGAAUGCAUUGAUGUGAAAUAGUAUGAUGCUUUUCCCAACAUUUCUUUCCACAGUCAUUGAGAUUGCACCCAGUGUUAUACAAAACGUCUUGACAUCUUUGAGCAGCUGAGACGUCUUGAGACGCCAACAACAAUGCAACUAUAUAAAAAAACAUAAAAAGAUAAGUAUACAGCAAGGCAAAUUAGCAAUCCAAUAUGUACUAUAAUGGUUAUUUACUUUUGUAACACAUGAUAAUACAAUAAUUGUGGAGGAAAUUAAAGAAAAAGAACCUGCAAAAAUAAGAGCAAAACAUAUGAUACGGGAAGAAUCCAUAUUCUUAAGAUAUUCAAAUUUCCAAACUAUUGUUUUGUUAAGAAUUAGAGUGAUAGAAAUUCUAUGAUUUUCAAUGGUUUAAAUACACAAAGUUACAUUAAAUCUCUUAGAACUCAAGAACACGGAUGUUACAACCUAUAGAACAGAUCCUGUUCAAGUAAGGCCGUAAAAGUUGCAUUAAAUCCCAUCCAUGCAUUAAUCUGUUUCAUUUAUGUAAAAAUAGUGAACAUUUCUAUGAACUAAACAAAACACCAUGCAUGAAUUUGUUUUCAUUUAGGAAAAAUAGUAAUGAUUUUAACAACUUUCAUACAUUAUGUGAAUUAAAUGUCAACAGUUUCGUUUGUAAAGUUUUACUAUUUUAAAAUAUUGGUUGAUUUUUUAAACUCAGUUUUACAUGUGUAUUUGUAUGUAUUUUGGCUAAAAUAAUAUGAAACUUCUAAUUUUAUGAUGUUCCGUUCUAAAUUUUCAAGUACAAACCCGCAUUUUCCAACAUUUUAAAGAGAAAAUGUCUAACACUCCUAAAAAAAAUAGAAAUUUGAUGGACACUUCUAAACUUUUUUAUGUUAGUUAUUAUAUGAUUUCCAUAAUAUCAAGUGUGGUUAAUAUUUACUUGACAUAUUAAAAAUAUCAAAAGGAAUAUUCACUUUUAAUUGAUAUUUUUUAAGGGGCGUUUACAAAAUAACAAAAAAUUUAUGAUAAUAGACUCCAUGUCACUACAUUUUCUAAAUUGCAAAUAUAUAUAGUAAAUUUAAAAACUGACAACUCUCUGAUAGCCCUAUGAUAACACUCUGAUUGUCGUCUGAUAACUCUCUGAUAGCUCUCUGAUUGUCGUCUGUUACGAACAUUCAUGAAAGACUAACUUACUAUUAUUGGUCUAUAUCCAUGGACACAUAAAUAUAUCUACCGUGGCUAUAAGUUUUUAGUGGAGUGUACACAUAGUCAACGAAUAUUGAUUAAUGUGGUUAAUGAGUUUAACCAAUUAAUCUCACAUCAUUGUAGCUUGUGAUCUCUAGGUCCAUUAGGUCCUUUUCCUAAUUCGUUCAAAUAUUAAUUUAAUGUGAAUUGGAUUCAUAUUAAAAUGAUUGGUCAUGAGAGAAACUUACAUUUGACUAUGAUUUAAAUUUAAUUUAAGUUCAAUAUAAGAUAUUUAAUUUAGAUAUUAAUUAAUUAGAGAACUAAUUAAUAGUUUAGUUUAAUUUAAUUUAAUUCGAUUUAAUUAAAUUAAUUUAAAACUAUAACAUAUAUGAGAGAUAUUCAUUAAAUAUGCAUUAAAUGAAAUAUUAAUUAAAUAUGAUUUAAUUAAUUAUUGGUUGAUUCAUUAAUUAAUUAGUUGAUUUGAGAUUUCUACUAAUUUAAUAUUUGUUAAAUUAAUAAAAUUUUAUGAUUCUCUUUUGCUCCCUCAAGGAAAGGAAGUUAUAAAUAUGCAAAAGAAAAAAAAGUUUGUCUUAAUCAAUUAAGCCAAUGUUUUUGCUGUCUGCAAAAAUAAUUUAUCUUUAAAUUUUUUUUCAUCCCAGUUGGUUCUCUACAAAUCAAUCUCAUCUCAAGUGAUAGGAAGGUCUCCAACGGGUGGUGUUCCAAUUUGGAGUUUUAGUAGAUUCAGAGGUGACAAACUAAGUAAGAUCUUCUUUCUCAAAUCUAUAAUUAGAAAGAAUGCUUAGGCUUUAAGUUAUAAUAAAAAAAUUAGUUUCUAUAUUAUUUUGUCAAUGUGUUGGUAUUUUGAGAUCCCCAAAUUAAAUUGAAGAAUGAGUUUGUAAAAUCUUCCGCUGUCUAAGGCUUUUAUCUCUUCAGAGUGAAGCUCAGCGAAUAGAACAUGGUACACGAGGAGAUUCAACCAACCUCUUCAACGCGAGAAAGCAGAUUUUAGACAUUCAAGCCACUAGCAAACACAAGAGGUUGGCGAAAAUUUCAGAAAAGGACAAUUGGUCCAGGGCAUAGCUACAACUUUUUAGAAGCCUUAAUGAUGCAUGCCAAAAUGUCAGAGCCACUUCAUGUAUAUAAACAGAGUUUUCCUCUUAAGAAGAGUGAGCAACCAUUAGCCGGAAGAGCAAGUUCCCCAACUCAUCCAUCCAUUUCUUUUACCUUGACUUUUAGGUGAGAGCUUGAUGCUGGAGAGAGAGAUAUCCUUCAAUCUCAUUGUUUCCCCUCAUCUAUAGGCAAAAAGCAGAGCUAAGGUGCACGAGAAAUCAAACUCUGCAGUGUAACACAUCUGUUGUAGUUCCAUUUUAUCAUUUUUAUUUUGUGUUGUUUUGUAAAAAAAACUUCGUGGUUGAAAGACAUACAAUAUCAGUUAUGAAAGCAAUGUAUUUCUUGUUCCAUUCUCCUAUUUUCUUACCUCUUCUAUAUACUUGUAAUUGAUUGGCUAAAUAACAAUGAACAAAGUAGCCAAUACCACAAAAGUUAUAAUGAAUGUCGUAAGAGUUUUGUUUAGUUAAACGUAAGUAUCUUAGCCUUGCUCAUUCGAGAGAAGAGCAAAGGUAGAGACUAUAUUCAUAAAGAAGGUAAAAAUCGUAUUUAACUAAGCAUGUGGCAAGAAGAAUGCAACAAUGCAUUCUUGUUGUCAAACUCAUCCUGAUCUACAUACAUUACUUAGAGGUUAACGUGUGUGGCAGAAGCACUUAAAGGUGUGUUGUAAUUGAGGAUUAGUUAUUGUUACUUCAAUCUAAAUGAUUAGAUAACUGCAUCACUUAACUUGUGUAUUUGUAUCUCGAAAGGAGAGCAAGUAUGACUUUGCACUGAAGAGUUGCUCGCCUUAAUUCUUAGUUAAGAGAUGUUUGUAUUGCCUCAAGGUAUUAAGUCAUCGAUUGUAGCAUUUGGUAGUUCAAUUUUUCUUCCCCUGUUUAUAUUGAGUUCUUAUUUCAUCAUGUCAUAAUGUCAUGUUCACCUUGCGCCACCAAGCAUAGUAGUGUAAAUAGUUGAAGUAGCUAAUAUACUGUUCAUAUGAUUUAGUACACAAUUAGAUAAAUUAGGAGCUUAUAUUCCCUGAGUUCGACCCUGAACUACUCAGGAAAUCUCUCAUUGCUUCUACUGGGUUGAUAGAGAGGAAAGCUUGCGCGAUAGAGUUUAAAUGAUCAUUAGCAACGUAAGAAUAGGAAUGCAUCUUUCAUCGCAUGACCCUACUUCACCGCCCAUUAUAGUUGACAAAUUUAGAGCCUUUCAUGUUAACCUACGAUUGUGAAACUUGAGAGAAUUUAAUGCAUGAUUUAAAAUAAACAGUACCCCUUGCCGAGCCCUUUUGUACCAGUUGAUACGUGAGCCAACAUCUCUGUCACCGAGUCAGUUCUCCUAGACUUGUGUCAUUUUUUCCAUAUCUAAGUCGAGCCACUGUUUUUCCAAGCCAUUUGCUUUUGAGGCAUCUUUGAGACUUUUCUUUGAUGAGUUUUGAUUGAGUUUUAGGUAUGCCCAUCAGAUAUUGACUUUUGGUUAAAGUAGAUUUAUUUUUUUGAUUAAGUUCAAUUAUCUUAAAGUUUGAUUAUUUUUCCUUAGGUUCAUUUGGCUAAUUUUAGUUGGAGGUUUUGAGUUGUAAAUUUUUACCAGUCACGGUUGAAUUGGUUUCAACCUUUUUGUUGGUAUUCGAAACUCUAAAUAAAUAUUUGGUUGACAAAAUUAAUGAUUUAAUUUUGUCUAUGUUUAGGAUUGGGUUAUUGAAUUUUGACUGUCAGCCAAGAUUUGCUAAUCUCAAGGUAAGAGAUUCUACUACUGGACCGUCGAACAUAAAAUUAAAAGCUUCCAUGUAUUUUUCAUUAUGCAUUGAUGUAGCUAAGAUGCAUAAUGUGUUGAUGUUGAUGAAUGAUGUUGAUAACUGAUAUUGAUGACUGAUAUGGAUGAAUGAUAUGUUAUGGUGCAUGAUAUAUUAAUCACAUGAUAAGGAUGUUAUGAUUGAUAUUCAUGCCAUGUAAUGAUAUUUAUGAUAUACUACAUGCUAUGGACUGGUGUUCUGUUAACUUUGUCUAUUAGGAUUUUACUCAUGUGGAUGUCCUUUGGGAUCAUCACCUUCCACAAAUUUAUGAUUGUAUAAGUUCAACGGGACCACAAGUGCAUCAUGAUAUGUUUUAUGAGUAGUCCGACGAAGUCACUUAUAGCUCGAUUCUCUUAGGUGUUCCUUCGGGUUCACUGAUAGACCAGAUGUACAUCAUUAGAUUAUGUGUGUUCAGGAGCACGAUAUUUUUUGGGUACUUCCUUACGAAACUAUAAUCGGAAGUUAACAGACACCUAGCGAGACCAGUAAUAAAUAUAAAAAAAUAAAAACCAUACUUGACAUUUUAGAUGUUCCAUUAAAAAAAAUGUUUUAUCAAACACAAAAUUGAACGACCCAGGGAGAAUUACUAAAACAAAUACAUUACUGGACAACUAAAUUUACUUGUAGUAAAACAACAAAAUUUACUUGUAAUGACCACUAACAGGGUUAGCUGCAGCUAAAAUAAAAGUGUGAGCUGAUAGACUUUCUAUCAGUUCAGCUUUUGCAAUUGAUACACAUUGUUGUUCCAUGGGUUAAUUGAUCCAGUAGGGCCUGCAAUAAUCUAAUGUAAGAAAAUGUGCCAUGAAAAAGGAAACUAAGAAUUGAAGAGAGAAAUUCAGGUUUCAGUUCAAAACACCUGAUAUUCUGUAGACAUUUUAUCGAACUCAUCUGUACAGCAUAAUCCACCAUCUGCAAGUACCAUAGCCCUUGUGGAAAGUAUAAAUUAUCUGAUCACUCAAGGGUAAAACAAUAUAUUUAUUAUAAUGCAUUAGCAAAAUAGAAGCAUUUAAGCACCGUUAUUUUAAACAUUACACCAAUCCACAAAUUCUUUUUCUUUCACAAAAAGACAAUACAUGAUUUAAGUAAAAGGAGCAACUAGAUCGUAAAUAAAUAUUAUUUCCCGUUUCUUCAUUCUUGAGCAUAAAAAUUUAUGGCACUUUUUUCAAAACAAAGGCAAAGACACCAGUGGACCAAAGUAUUUUCUCCCAAACUUUAAUGGGCCUUAGAUGAGUAGAAGAAAAAAAAACCAAAGGAACUAACUGAAGAAUAUAAAAUACUACAAAUUUUCACAACCCUCCCCCCCACCCACACACAAUUUUUAAAAAAGAAUAAAAAUAAAAAACUUAAAUGAAGAAGGCAAUAUAUUAUGACCUGUGGUUUGGUAUAGAGGGUAGUGGAGAGAGUGGUCACGUUGGAGAUCUUGUGGAGUUUUGCGGGAUCGUAGUAGUCCAAGAUGAUGUACAGACUGAGGAGAUUUUUUAUAACGGAGAGAGGAUGUUUGUCAAGGAUGGGAGAGAGAGCGUCAUUGGCAACAACAAGGACAAUGAUAGUCUGACGGCUGUUUAUCUCGUUGGCAAGUCUGGUUUGUUGGAGAUAUAUAAUUAUUGAAAAUGUUGUACUGAGGGAAGUCUUUUAGCAUGUCGAUAAUAUUGUGGACGAAGACGAUGGCAGCAAUGGUGGUGAAGGCAAGGAAGAGGAGAAGAGAUUUGGAAGCUACCAUGGAAAAUAGAGAAAGAGAAGAGAGAAAGGAUGGGUUUGGGAGAAGAGGGAAAUCAGGGGAGGGGUCUGUGAGAGAAGAGGAAAAUCGGUGGAAGUCUGAAAAAAUAAAAAAGGAACAUUUGGGGCAGUAAGCAUAACGCCCAAAACCUAAAAAAAUCAUUUUUUUAAUUUUCUUUUUCUGCUUUUUUUCUUUUAUUUUUUAUAGCAUAAUACUAAAUAUGCUAUAGUUGGAUGCUAUUAAAAGGCAUAUUUGUUGUAGUGUUUUGAUAUUUAUCCUUUUCAUUACUAGCUUAGUUUAAUAGUUCAGUUUGUUACAAAAAUACACUGCAUGCAUAUCAUAAAAAGGCAAUCAUAACUAUGACUAAAUAUAACCCAACUUGAUUUUUGUUUUUGCUUGACUCUUUUGGUUAUGUUUAUUUUGAAAUCUAUUAAACCUUUUUUGAAGUUGCUUAACUAGAACUUUCGUAAACCUCAUUAGAUUAACAUGACUUAUCAUAUUUUGUGAAUGAUUUGUAAUGUUUCUUAUUUGACCAUUCAUGUUAAUGCAACUAUAAUUAUUGUUGUUAAAUAUUGAAAUUUUUUGUUCUUACAUUAUUGUCAUGAAAAUCAAUAGAGUCAAGAAAUUGAAUUAAAGGUAUAACAUAUGAAGAAAAAAUAUCAAUUAAAAGUUUGAAAAAAAAAAACUAAACUGAUUAACUAAACCUAGAAUUCAAAACCAGCACCUCAAACACAAACAUAAAAAAUCCAAAUUUUCAAAUCCUACACCCCAAACAAAGGCAUUGGUAGCUUCUAGACAUCGAAAUCCCAUCAAAUAAGCUCAUAGGUAUUUAGUUCCACGCAUUUGAUUACGUGCGUGUGUGCCAAACGUGCUAUAGGUGUUGCUAUAGGUGUUGGAUGAAAUGCUUGUAAGAAAUAUUAUUAUGACUUAUUUCGAGUUUUGUAAACAAACAUUUCUUUAAUCCAUAUUGGGUAGCGUGUUGAUCUUAGAAGUUCAAAGCUAUCGAAUCUCAUGUAUACACUUAUGGUCUUUGAAUUAUAAUUUGAAUCUCAAUUUUAAUUAUCUAAUUGUUGUUUCAAAAACUUUCUUUCUUAGUUAUUCUAAUUUUUGUUUUCUAAGAAAUCAACUAUUUGAGGUUUUGAUUCUUUAUUCUUGGUGAGAACUCAAAUCUCAAAACUCAAAACUCAAUUCUAUUCUCCACUUGACACAAAACAUCAUUAAAUACACUAUUUUUAGCACAGAUUUUCCUUUAAAAUCCUAGCCUAAAUUUGGCAAUUAAAAGACCAAAUAUACAUAGCUUCAAAACAACAUGACACAUACAAGGAAAAGACCAAACCCUUUAGUAGACAGACAACUGCGAACCAGGCUUCAAGAACAUGACCUCUAUUUGAAAAGUGGAAAACAGUUUUAAAAGUAUGAGUUAAACAUGCCUAGUGAAUGAAAGGUUUUAAAACAACAUUUCAUAAACAUUUAAAAACUAAUCAUAAAACGAUUUCAUAAAUACGUUAGCUUGGCAAACAUUUUAAAAAUUGGUACACAAGUACCGGUUUUUCCUCGUUAUAUUAAAAGAGGCUAUGUAGGGAGCAUUUUUACAUGCUCCUUUUACCCCUACAUUUUUCACAAAUUUCUGUAUUACCUUUCGUCGAGUGAAAUUCUAGGUAACUUAGUGCAUUUGAUGAUAAUGGGAUGUGACUCAUCAAGAUAGGUUGAAUCUAUUUUAGGUGGAGGUGUGUUAUAUUAGUACAUUGAUUGUUUCAAUGUAUAUGGGAGAUCAAUGUAUAAAUUUAUAAAAGAAAAACAAAAUAAAUAUAUGCACUUAUUUUUUAAAAAAAUAAUUUAAUUAAUAAGAUUCAAAAUUUAGAGCAAACAUUAAAAAGGAAAAAAAAUAAUUAAUGAAAGUAAUAAUUAAUACGCUAAACCCUUCAUUUCGAGUUUAGAAAAAUUAGAAUAAAAAUGAUUGCAUUAUAUAUAUUACAAUACUAGAAUAUUAACAUAUUAAUUCAAUAAUUUAAUUGUUAUAACAUUUUCUCUCUCGUUAAAUUAGAAAGAAGAUUUUUUUUUCCAAAGAGGAUAAUAUGAAAACUAAAAUAAAAAAUAUUACAUUAUCAAACCUCUAAUUCUUAUUAUAUAUUCAGAAACUACCAUUACAAAGGAACUAAUGGAAACUACAAGAUUACAUGUGCAUCGCACGUGUUGCUUGACUAGUACCUUUAAAUGCUUAGGAACGAAAAACAAUCACUCCACAAACCAACAUGCAUUCUUUCAACAUACUUUAUCAUCAUUCUCACAUAUCCUAGAAAAAUUUUCAUGCUGAGGUGACUCAACAUAGAAUUACUUCAAGCUAAGUACGCUUAACUUUGGAGUUUCUAUGAUCGAGCCACCGAAAAAAAAAGGUGCACCUUGUUAGUAUAAGUAGGAACUUUUAAUUCUUUUUAACCUUACUUUCAUGUUCUUAGGAUCCCUCACAUUCAUAUGUAAUACUGUUUCAUUCAUGUCUCCCUCUUAAACUCGAAGCCUUACGAAUAGAACAUAUUUAUAUCUGUUUAAAUUUUAAAUAUGUCUAAUUAUAAGUCUCUAAAGAAAAUUUAAAAAUUAAUUAAACUAAGGAUAUUUUUAAAUAUUGUAAAAUAAACAAAUUUAAAAAUUAAUUAAACUUAAGAUAUUGUCAAAUAUAGUAAAAUAAACUACAAUAUUUACAAAAUAGAAAAGUUUGGAUUCUAUCAAUUAUAGACACCGAUAAUCUUAUACUUUUGUCAAUUAAUGUCACUGAUUAAACAUUUCAGUGUCGGUCAUUGAUAGAAUUUAAAAUUUUGGUAUAUUUUAUAAAUAUUUUGUCAAAUUUAUCAUUUUUAUCAAAUCUCUAUUAAGGUAUUAACUUUAAAUUUAAAUUUUAUGUGGAAUAUGAAACUUUAACCCAUCAACUUUAUGUUAAAUAAAUUUAUAAAUUUUGAAAAAAAUAUAUCAACGUUGAUUGCUUAAAUUUAUAAUUUUUAAAAUUUUAGAGAUCAAAUUGAUACAAAAUUCAAUUUUCAUAAACCAAGUCGAUAAUUUUAACAUAAAAAAUACAUGAAUGAAAUUAGGGGUGAAAUCGGGUUGUGGGAGAUUCUCAACCCAACCCAUAUAUUCGGAUUAUUUGGGUUGACAACCUAAAUAACCCAAAUUUAGUUUCUAACCCAACCCAACCCAAUCUGUAAAAUAUGGGUUGGGUUGGGUUGGAUUGAGUUGUCGGGUUGUAUAUAUAAAUAUAUUUUUUUAAAAAAAUUUAUGUUUUCUAGUUUCUAAUAGUUAUAAAAGUAUGAAAUUGUUACAUUUAAAUUUCAAACAUACAUAAUUCAAACUUUCAUACAAUAAAUUCAAAAUUUGUAUAACUCUAAUUUGUUUUUUAUUAAAAUAAUAUAUUUAUUUAUUUAUAUACCAUAUUAAUUCGGGUUGGAUUGAACCAAAUUUUUCAACCCUCCAAUCUGAGAUCUAACCCAACCCAACCCGAAAAAAUAAAAAAAAAUUAACAUAACCCAACCCAACCUAUAUUUUAGCUUAACACAAUCCAACCCUUAUAAUAUGAGUUGGAUAGUUCGAAUUAUUUGGGUUCAACCCAUAUUUGUACACCUCUAAUGAAACUCAAAAUUACAUAUAAGGAAAGUUGGCGAGCACAUACGAACAAUAAUAAUUUCUGUAAAUUAAAUUUGGAAAGUUUUGUGUAUAUUGAAUUGAAAUGGAAAUUUUUGUUAAGGAAAGAAAACUUUAUGAAGAAGAUUUUGGUACAUUAUUUAACUACUUCAUAUGGAAAUUAGACAGAGAAGAAAGUGUGAGAGAUAUGAAUGGGAAUUUCCAUUUGAACUUGGAAAUACUUUUCACAAAUUGAAUAUGUGAACAAUUUUUUUCCUAAUUUUUUUUUUAAAAUAAUUACAUUUAUAAACAUUAAACACUACUUUUAUUCCAUUUUGAGAACUAAUUAAAAUUAUAGGUCACACUUGAUUUCGAUUUCGAAAUUUAUGAUGGUUUCUUCUAAAUUUUCUCAUUAUAAUUUUCACCUUUGUAAAAUAAAUCGUGCUUAAGGUUUCUAGUUAAUUUUUGAAAACAAAAACACGUUUUUCAAACCUUUUUUUUUUUACCUUCAAAACGUGAAUUGAUUCCUUGAAAUAUUAUAGGUAGAAAAUGUAAGUCAAAACAAUGAAAAUUUAUAGAAGGAAAAGUAAUAUUUAUAAACUUAAUUUCAAAAAAAAAAAAAGAAAAAAAAAGUCCCGUACCUUUUCAAUUAAAUAAAAAUAAAAACCAUAAUUGCUACCUUGGGCGUAAAACAUGUAAAAAUAUGAACAGCAAACCAAUAAAAGUAUCGUUAUCAAAUGAACUUAUAUGCUUGCAUGCAAUAAUGUACAUAAUUUUGUUAUCAAUUUAAUCACCUAGAAAUUCGAAUAAUGGACUAAUGGGAUUUGUGAAUAUUCAAAAUGAUGUGAAGUUAUUUGACGUCUUAAUAAACCUCCUUUUAACUUAAAUGGUUAUGCCAUAAACUAUCUUCCAGUUUGCAAUAGUUCAAUUAUGUUCUACUUUCCAGUAGUUGAACUCAGAAAUUAAUAAUUACAACAACUUGGUUCUAGUAUAAUCAAAUUGAAUUUCUUUGAUUUAUAGAAUAGUAAUAGUAUUAUCAUAUAUUUGUAAAAUAUUAAAAGAGAAAUAUAUAUAUAUAUAUAUCCUUAAGGCAUCCCUGGAUUAUAACAAUUAUUGAUACAUAAUAAUAUUAGAUAAAGAAAAUUUCUUUUGCCAUGCAUAAUUCCCUUCCUCUCUCAAUUGUUUUCCAUUUUUUGUUCGAUUAUCGUUGUUGACCGUGAAGCUAUUGAGAUGGAGGCGGGGGAGGAGAGUAAGAUGUCCUUGGGUUGAGUCCUGAUGGUGGAAUAGGUACGCGUCUUUGAUACAUUCCAAAACCAAAGGUGUUGUGAUGGAAGAAAUUUGAUGGAGGGGGUGGAGAAGAAUCUGAUGUCCUUUGACUUGGGCCAGAUGGUGGAAUAGGUAUCCCUUUUGGAUACAUUCCAAAAUCAAACUUCUUUUGUAAGAUAUUGAAGGGAGGAGGUGGAGAAGAGUCUGAUGUUCUUUGACUUGGCCCAGAUGGUGGAAUAAUGCCUUUUGAAUACACUUUGAAAAUGGAAUUUGAUGGUGGUGGAGGAGUGGGAUCGGACGUAGUCGGAUUCGAUCCAGUUGGAGGAAUAGGUCUAGCAUGUGUUUGGACAGCAAUAAGAUGAAACCCUAGGAGAACAAGGAACGAAGCUCCUAAAAUCAUUAUCGAACUUAUUGAUGCCAUUUUCUUGUGUUUUACUAUGUUCUAAUGCUUCCCUUUAUAUACCAAUCAUUUUUCUCCAAUUUAGUAUUUUUCUCAAUUUAUUGACCAUCAAUUUGUGAGAUUAUUUGUUUCCAUAUUUUGUUACUAACCCUUUAUGGUAGAAUCCAACCCCAUUUCUUUCCCUCCAACUCAACCAUGGUGACUAUGAAGUUGGAAUAUCAAAUUUUAGAAAGUUAUUAACUAUUUAACCAAUUUAGAUUUUAUUUAUGCUAACAACAAAAAUAGCAAAUUUUAAAGGUUGAUUUCAAAAAUAGCAAAAAAGUUUUUCAAUUAGUUAAAUAGAAAGUACUCGUAAUAUAAAAACACGAAUAUCCACGCACGGAUCUUUUCAAAUAAAAUAAAAAAUUGCAAAUUAUUUAUAUAAUCACAAAAUAUCACUCAAUUCCAAAAAUAAUUACACACAAUUUUGAGUAAAUAUUUAACGUUUUUUCAAAAAUAUAAAAAAGCAGCAGAAUAUUUACACUGUGUAGAACAACUUCGAAAAUGAAAAAAGUUCACAGGCACACAAUGAAAAAUAUCAAAAAUGCCCCAGUCAACAACAUGGAUAAAAUAUUUCGCACACGAUCGUUUAGAUUUCGCUAUUGUUUGGUACACAAUCAUUUAGAUUUGGCUGACCCAAAUCUAAACAAUUUUUUUUCAACAUUUUUUGGUACACGAUCGUUUAGAUUUGGCUACAUGAUCGUUUGGAUUUGGUUACACGAUCGUUUGAUUUGGCUAAACGAUUUUUUUCAAGAUUCUUUGGUACACAAUCGUCACUACAAGAAUCAUACGUCGGGAUAGAUGACGUCGUAGGAGAAGGGUUAUGCUGACGCGAUGGUAACGACAUCGACAAUAGAGAAAAUAACGACGCAGCACCAAUCAAUAUUAAAAAAUAUUAUUCUAACUUCUAACAACACCAUGCAAGCCCGUGUCGAUGUUUCCCCUCUAACGGCGACAUCCAUGGUCGAAAUGCAUCGGCAAACCUGUAAUAUAUUAUUAAAAUUUAGAAGCUAUGGCGACGCCUGAUAACUUGUAGAAAUACAAGUUAUUGCGGCCUCUUAAGUAAAAUAAUGAGAUUCAUCGUAUAAAAAGAGAAGAAUGCAUAAAGAAAACGUAGACAAUUUAAUUAAUAUGCGAAAGGUUUACCGCAAAAGAAUUUCAUCUCUGUUUUAUGAUGUUUCAACAAUUUUAUUGCAGGAUUUUCGACGAAGAAGAGCGAGGCUCGGCAAGCAAGAACAAUUGUACGCGAAGUAAUCCUACCAACCUCUUCAGCGCAAGGAAGCAAAUGUUAGGCGAUCAAGUCGCUAGCAAACAAAUGAGGUUGGCAAGAAUGUCAGAAAAGGACAAUUCAUAAAGGCUGUGCAGCAGAGCAACAACUUUUCAGAAGUCCUACUGUUGCGCGCCGGUAUGUCAGUGCCACAAACAGAGUGUCCCUUCUCAGAAGAGUGUGCACAAAUUGGCCGAAAAAGCAAGUUUCUUACAAUCCUCAUCUUCUCUCCAUCAUCUUAAGUCUAGGUGAGAGCCUAAGGCAUAAAGAGAAGGAGAGAUCCACAAAUUCCAUUACUCCCCCUUCCAUCUAAGCAUAAUUCAAGCUUGUGGUGUUAAUUCCUUACAACUUGCCACCUUGGAAAUGCAUGAAAGAGUCCAACUUCUUCAUGUCAUUUCUAAUACCCGUUCCAAGGUCUCUUGGUAGGAAAAUUGAUGUUUAUCUUCGACCAUUGAUUGAGGAAUUGAAAGAGUUAUAGAGUCUUGGUGUUCGUACGUAUGAUUCUCUUACCUCUCAUUUUUUUCAAUUGUAUGCAGCUUUUCUGUGGACGAUUAAUCACUUUUUGACGUAUGGUGACCUAUCUGAAGGGAGUACGAAAAGGUAUUAGGCAUGUUCUAUAUGCAUGGGAGAUAAAUUGUCAUUUGGAAUAAGAGGAAAGAUAGCUUACAUAGGACACCCACGUUAUCUUCCAUAUAAUCAUGUUUGGCGUAGAAGUAAGCUAUAUGAUGGAAGUGUAGAGUGUAGGUCUACUCAAGUUGUACCGAAUGGACAUGAUAUCUUGGAACAACUUAAUUUCCUAAAGUUUCUAGUGAUGAGUAAACAUCCAUCACUGAACGAUAAAAAAAAAAAAAAAAAAAAAAAAAGAGAGAGCUCUGAAUUCGACGAAGAAAAGUAUCUUUUUCAAACUCCCUAACUGACCAAGUCUGCUAUUACAUCAUAAGUUAGAUGUAAUGCAUAUUGAAAAGAAUGUUUAUGACAACUUGGUCGGUACACUGUUGAAUAUAGAAGAGAAAAUGAAGGAUACUACGAAUACUAGGUUGGACCUUCUGGAUUUGAAAAUCAAAAAAGAUUUAAUACCUGGUGGAAGUCAGUAACAGAUUGAUGAAACCAUAUGCAAGUUACACGUUUACUCGCAGCGAACGAGUUGCAUUUUAUAAGUACCUAAAAUCAAUUAAGUUUUCUGAUGGAUUUGUUUCUAAUAUUUCACGAUGUGUGAAUGACAAAGGUUGGAAGAUAUCAUGUCUUAAGACCCAUGACUGUCAUAUUUUGCUUCAUCGACUUCUACCUAUCGGUGUUCGAGCAUACUUAUCAAAGAAUGUGUACAACACUAUUAUGAAAUUGUGUAGUUUCUUUCGCAACAUGUGUGCAAGGACGAUAAGAAUAAGUGAUUUGGAUUGAUUGCAAGCAGAUAUCAUUAUCAUACUUUGCAAGUUGAAAAGAAUAUUUUCACCGGCAUUUUUCAGUGUAAUGGUAGACCUUGCUGUUCACUUACCAUAUGAAACAAAAGUCACUGCUCUGGUGCAUUAUAGUUAGAUGUAUCCCAUUGAGAGAAGUCUAUACACGCUGAAGUAGUAUGUCUGAAACAAAGCACGUACUGAGAGGUCUAUUGCUGAAGCAUAUGUGAUGAAUGAAUCAAGUACUUUUUGUUUGAGAUAUCUAAGUGGGAUUGAAACUCAAUUUUCUCGAGAUGAAUGAAAUGUAGCAUUCCUAAAGACGAGGUAGUUCAUCAGUUUGAAGUGUUCAUGUAAAAGGUAUGACCAUUAGGCGCGAGAAGUCCAUGAUCGUUAUCACAGAAAAGAGAAAUGCUAGAUACAUUGGUACAUCUUGAACAAUAAUGUAGAUGAAAUCACACAAUACUACAAGUAUAUCCUUUAUUUUUUGUUAGUUAAGUCAUAGUCAUCACAAAUACUCAUAACUAUGAACUUUAGAAAACAUUUGAGGUUGAUACAUCCUGAGGUAAACAACAAAGUCGAUUUCGAUUUCUUGAAAAGACAUCAACGAUCAUUUCCUGAUCAUUGUUGGCUCCAAAGUUAUGUUACACUGAUCAUUCUGCAAUCAGAUAUUUAAUGGAAAAAAAGGAUACCAAGUCACGAGUGAUCAUAUGAGUGUUAUUGCUUAAAGAGUUUGAUUUGGAGAUUAUAAACUGCAAGGGUAUCAAGAACCAAGUGGCGAAUCACUUAUCGCGUCUUAGUAACAAAAAGUUUCAAUCCGAGAAGAGAGAAAUUGAAUAUGGAUUUUCAUAUGAGCAACUCUUUCGAAUUGAAGUAAAAGAGCUCUAAUAUGAUAGUUGCAUCUGUAGACGCGAAUUCCAAGCAUUUUUGGGCUAUGAUUCUAGCAUAUCACUUAUCACGUCUUACCAACAAAAAGUUUCAAUGCGAGAAGAGAGAAAUUGAAGAUGGAUUUCCAGAUGAGCAACUAUUUUGCGUUGAAGUAAAAGAGCCCUGGUAUGAAAGCCUUGUUCGUAGUCACGAAUUCCAAGUUAUUGUAGCCUUUUAUGUAAAAUAAUGAAAUCUAAUCCUAUGAAGAUAGAAGAAAACAAAGGAAAAAGUAGGUGAUUUGAUUAACUUACGAAUAACAUGAUACGAAAGAGCCUUAUCCCUUUUUUUUAUGCAUUUUACUACUCUUACUGUAGGAUUUUUAGGCAAAAAAAGUGAAACUCGGUGAAAUAACGUCUAUGCAACAAGACACAUUCAACCAAUGCGAGAAUAAAGAAGCAAGCUAGGCAUUUAGAGUGCUAGCAAACAAAAUUGAUUGGCGUGAAAGUCAGAAAAAGGACGUAUGCGUGGCACCGAUGCAACUUUUCAGAAGAAUUAAUGACAUGUGGCUUUCUGUCUACAUCAACUCUCACCUAUAAAUUAUGUCUCUCACUUCAACAACGGUGUGCAAAAAUUUGAGCAAGUUCUAACAUCGUCCAUCUCCCUGCAUUUAAAUGACUUAUAUAUGGUCUCUGGUACUAGGUCAAUCAAACUCUCUCCUUCUAAAGUUAUUUUGAGAGCGAUUGUUUGAUCCAUAAUUGUUAGGACUAUUGAUUUUCUUAAUCACAUUGGAAAAUUGCUUUGUUAGCAUGACAAUCGACUCAUUUACUUGAUCUAGAAGUUUUUCCUUUAUCAAAAGAUUCAUCUCCAUGUAUAGAUUGAAAAGCACACUUUUUACCUUACUUUCUUCUAUGUCAGAUAAGGCAAUUUCAAACGUUCGUAGAGAUUUAAACAAUUCAUCAAGAGAAAGUGUAGUGACAUCAUGUGCCUCUUUAGUGGCGAUGACCUUCAUGUCAAAUCUUCUGGAAAGAGAACGUAAAACUUUCCUAACCAGUUUAGCCUCUGGAAUCCCUUCACCAAGAUUGAAUUAGUCAUUGGCAAUUUUCAAAACACGUACAUUAUAUUCAUUUAUAGUUUCUUCUUCCAUCAUUCUUAAUGAUUCGAACUUAGUUGUCAGCAAUGGAAGACGAGAGGUUUUUACUUUAGAGGUACCCUCAAAAGCUACUUCAAGUGCUUUCCAUGCAUCUUUUGCUAUAAUAUUGGAGUUGAUUAAUUUGAAUACGUUCAGAUCGACUCCAUUAUAUAUUGUGUUGAGUGCACGAGAAUUCCCUAGGGACUUUUGUUCUUCUACAUCCAUCCAAUCUUCUUCAGGUUUUGGAACAAGCUUACCAUCUACAGUAAUCAUCGAUAGUUUCCAUCAAACUUUAACUGCUUUCCAGGCAUUUGCAUCCAGUGACUUUAAAAAAGAAAUCAUACGAGUCUUCCAAUAAGAAUAACUUUUUUCAUCCAGUAUGGGUGGCCUUGUAGUUGAUCCACCUUCUCUUGAUGUCUCCAUUUAUAUCGAACUCACUCUGAUACCAAUUGAAACGUGAGAAGGUUAAAUGAUCUUUAGCUAUAUCAAAAGUAUUUAACUACAACUAUAACUAAAAUACAUAGAAGACAAGUAACACAAUGCACUUUGAUAACCCAAUUCGGCAAAUACAGCCUACAUUUGGAGAGCAUCUAGGUCAGAUAAGAAAUAUUAUUGAGAUUCAAUGUAUGUAACUUAUCACAAUGGUUACAUUAACAAUUUAUAACCAUAACUUAAAAGUAAUCUCAGGCUCCCCUGAAUGUAAUAAGAAUCUCUUAUAAGACUUGUCCAGGCUCCCUCUGACUUGGUGAAUUGAUCCAUCAAUUCAAUGAUCUUCACACAUAUUUCUUAUCUUCUCAUAUUUCACAUAGCAACCGUCAAUCUUCAAUAUAAAUUCAAAUGACAGACGGUAAACAUUAUACCUUCAACUUGCAUAACUUGAAUAGAAGAGUUCGUAUAUGAUGUAUCCGUCAACCAACAAAUCACCUAUCAACGCAUAUAUAUAUAUAUCCCCAAGUAUGUUAUGCGAAUAAAUUCUUCCAUUUUAAAAGGAAACAACCUCGUACUAAGAUUCUUAAAUAAUAGGAAAAAUAGGUAACUUAAUAGUACUGUUUUAUCUUUCAAUUAAAAAGAAUUCUUAGUAAAUAAGUUUAAAAUAUUUGACAAAAUAUCUUAACAGGCACUGUGAAGGAGAUUAAAUAGAAUACACAAGGGCAUAAGAGAAAAAGGAAAAAAAAGAUUUAUGGUAAACUUUCCAUAAAUAAUUUUUCCAUAAACACCCUAAGGGCCAGUCCUACAAGUUCUAACACAAUCCAAAGAAUUGCUCAUUAGUUUCAUGAUGCUAGAGUGCCUCUAAAUGCAUGCACUUAUUAUUGCUUUGAUGAUUGAGGCAAUAGGAAAAUGUGAUCCUGGAUUGAAACCACCAUCAUAACAUGAACUGAGGUGCCAUGUUUGAAAAAGGAAUUAAAAUGCACAAAUGAGUUGAUGAAGAGCUACAAGGAAAAAGCAGGCGAAUGUUAGAUGCACCAUUGUGGCUGAUCGAUGGACAGAUAGGAAAAAUAGGACAUUAAAUUAACUUUUUAGCUAUUAGUUGGUGUACCCAAAUGAUUUAGUAGGAAUAGGAUAUUAUGAUCAAAUCUUUAAUCUAUUAAUAUUAGGAUUAGUUUCUUUUCUUUAUUAGGGUUAGGAUUAGUUUCUUUAAUUUUAUUAAUUAGGAUUAGUUGCUAUAAAUAGAGUACUUGUCCUUUUGUAUUCACAACUUCAAAAAACAUUAAUAAAAUUCUCUCAAUUGAGUUACAUCAAUAGAUCUAAGGCACCAUGUUCAUUGAGUCUAUCAAUGCUUCAUCUUAUGUGAAGGAUGAAAGAAAAAUGUUUGGGUUGCUCGACAAUUUCAUAGAUCGGAUCGAAGAAGCCAAUGUCGUACAAGUUGUUACUGAUAGUACCUAAGCAAAGGUUAUGGCAGGUAAGAAACAAUGUAAGGUAUCAACUAUGUUUAGACAUUUAAGCUGGAAUAUGUUCUUAUUUUACUUUGUUAACAGGGAGAUUGUUAGAAGCAAAACAACCACAAUUAAUUUAGUCUUUGUGUAUAUCUCACUGUUUAGAUUUGAUGAUAGAUCAGGAUAUAUACAAGAUCUCACAUAUUCACAAAACAUUAAUAAAAGGCAUGAAUGUUAGCAUUUCAUUUAUGUUCGUCCGGGAUUAUGAACAUGAUGAGGUGGUUUAUUAAUCAAAAGGAGUUAAACUAUCUAAGACUUGAUUUGCUACAACUUGAAUAGCAUCAUCAAGAUUACAUCACCAGAAAAAUAAUUUGAGAAAGAUGUUACUUCGAACAAAUGAAAAAAUAGCAAAUGGAGAAAGAACAAGAAAAAUGGGUUGCUUAAACAACUUUAUUCCUGGGGACUAUUUGGACCGUCUUUAAUAAUUAGACAAAGAGACAAAAUAUCUCCAAGUAAACUUUAACUUUCAAAUCUUUGAUAACAUUUAAUAACAUUCAAAUUGAAAGUUACUAAUAUACUUUUGAUCUAUAGUCAAAUGGUGGAUGAACAAUCAACUCCCAACUUGUAAGAUCUCACUUGUAGUGCCACGAGAUGUGACGUAAUUAGAGCGUUUUUGUACAAAUUAGGUAUCUUCUAUUACUUGUAGUGCUUGUAGAUGUGGAUGUAAUUGAACUAAACAAUAAAAUCUUUGUUAUGUACUAUUGAAAGCAAUAAACAUGAAACCUAGGCUUACAUGGAAACCCGAGAAUCGAAAGAAAAACCAUGAUGUUUUUAGUUUUAUUAUUUUUCCGAUAAAUACAAAGGUACAAAUGAGGGAGCUUAAAUAAAAUGUAAAGAGCAAAGAAGAAAAGGAAAGAAAUAAUUAUGGUAAGUUUUCCAUAAAUGUUUUUUUCAUUUAUACAAAUUCUAAUAAUCCCCUCAAGUUGGGACGUAAAUAUCAAUGAGGCCCAACGUGCUAACACAAAAAUCAAAAUUUGGUCUAAGAAGCUCCUUGGUAAGAAUAUCAUCAACUUUUUGACUAAAAAGGAUGUACGAAAUGCAUAUGCUCCUACUGUGAAGUCUUUCUUGGAUGAAAUGUCGAUCAAUCUCAAUAUGUUUAGUUCUAUCAUGUUGAACCGGGUUGUUAGCAUUACUAAUAGCUGCUUUAUUAUUACAAAUGAGCUUUAAUGAAUUCACAUAUUCAUGAUGAAGAUCAUAUAGGACUUUCUGGAACCAAAUUUUCUCACACAUUCCCAAACUCAUAGCUUUGUAUUCGGCCUCAGCACUGCUCUUGGCCACAACACUUUGCUUUUUACUCCUCCAAGUUAGAUUGUCCCAAACAAAUGUACAAUAACCGAAGGUAGACUUUCUAUCAACAAUUAUGCCUAAUCCGAGUCAAUAUAUGCAUCAAUAGUUUUUCUGUCUAUUUUUCUAAACAUCGGCCCUUUACCAGAUGUUGUUUUCAAGUAUCUUGAAAUUUUGUUGACAGCUUCCAUGUGUUCUCAUAAGAAGCCUCCCUAAACUGGCUGACAACACUCACAACAAAGGAAAUAUCAAGACGAAUAUGGGAUAAGUAAAUCCAUUUACCCACGAGGCACUUAUAUUGUUUUUUAUCAACUGGAACAUGAUCAUUAAAGUUUUCAAGAUUACAAUUGAAUUCAAUAGAAGUAUCAGCAGGACGACAUCCCAACAUACCUGUCUCGGUUAACAAAUCAAUGGUGUAUUUUCUCUUAGACACAAAUGUCACCACGUGCUCGAGACGACGCGGAGCGGCCGACGCCCUCAAAAGAGUUUCUUUAUUUUUUUAUAACAAAAAGGGAGUCACCACCAAUCCUUUUUUAGGGUGUGAUUGGACACCCAAAAUAAGUAAAUAAGCUUUUUUUUUUUUUUUUAAAUGGUCUGCGAAAAAUAGAGUUGGGUUCAAGAGUCAUUUGUCUACGGGGAAGGUAUUAGCAUCCCGUAGCACCCGUUUAGAAAACGGUGGCCAAACUUAAAGUCUAUGUCUUAUUUCCUUGCUCAUCACUCUCAUAUUUGAAGUAAUUAUCCCAUAAAAUAAGUAGAAUAAUAUUCCAUUAAUUAGACUAUAUUGAGGAAAAUUCCCCACCUUAAGAAAAUGAGAAAUUAUUACAAUUUCUCAAAAUCUAUCAUAGGUUAGUCUUUGAAUAAGAUUUUUUGUUUUAAAACAUUCAUUAAAUUCUUUUUUUUUUUUUUUUGAUCAAAUCUUGGACUUCCAAAGAUGUGAUCCCGUCUUUGGAAGUCCAAGAUUUGAUCCCUCACCUUAAGAAUUCUAGGAAAUCGGACUCCUAAAUUUCCUAGAUUCCAUCAUAGGAUUUUUUUGGCGAAAUAGGAACGAGUUAUUAAAAAGGGUUGAUUAGAAAAAACUUAUGAAAUAUGGAUUUUUUUUUUAAAGAAAAUUUAAAUUGAUAGUUUUAAAAGUAAAUUUUUUUAAAUGGUCUAGAUUCCAUCGUAGGAUUUUUUUAAGGAAAACGGUAUAAGUUUUUAGAAAAUACUGGUUUAGGAAAUCUUAUAAAAUCAUAUGUUAAAUUUGGAAGGUUUUGGAAAAAAACAUAAAACAUUUAUAGCAUUAGAGACAAAUUUGCUAAAUGAUUUUUUUUUUUUAAAAAAAAAGUCUUUUAUUUAAAACAUAAAGAAUUUUAAAUUGGAAAGAUUUCAAAACAUUAAAAAAUUUAAAUACAAAGAGUUGCAUUUAAUUGCAUAUAACAAUAAUUAUGAUAUAGCCAUGUGAAUUGUAAAAGAAAGGAAACAUAAUAGCAAUAAAAAAAAUAAGGAAAGAAACGAAAAAAAAGAAUGAACAAAGAAAGAAAUAAUAAUAAGAAGGAUAAAUAGAAGAAGAAAAACAAGUAAAAAGAAGAACCCUAAUAGUAAUAUAAUAUAAUAAUAAAUGGUGAUGAUAAUAAUAAUAAUGAUAAAAUUUUCUCUAUGUUCUUUAUCUCUAUAUUUUAGAGAAAAAAUAAAUAUUAAGAGUUGAGAUUAAAAAGGGUAAUAAAAUACGAAUACAUUAAAAGAGCACAUUUGUCUUAUGUCAUUUUCUCUCUCCCUAUUUUUUUUAGAGAGAAGAAAAAGACUAAAGAUUUUUUUAAAAAAAAUGAUGAUAAAAGAAAAAAAAAUAAUACAAAAAAUACUAAAAUUUUCCUACAUUUUAUUUUCAUUCUCUUUAUCUUUUAAAGAGAGAAGAAAAGAAAAAUAAGAAUUCGAAUUCCAAAGAAAUUACUUGUUGUAUGAGAUGCGGAUCAUUGGGAUUAAAUCCCUACCAAAUGCAACCUCCAACUAAGUUCAGUUAACAAUGAGCUUUAAUUUGCUUAAGAUAAAAUUUAAAAAAAUAUACAGACAAUAUGGUAAUGAAAAGAAUAAUAGAAACGCACCUUUUGUAGAGUUUUUUUUGCAGAGAUUCACUCUAAAACUUUCUCUAAGCACUCUUUUUAAAAAGAUUUCUCUAAGAAACUCUCUAAAGAAUUUUUGUAAGAAAUUCUCCUCCAAAGAAUUCGUUGUUUAAGAAACUAUCUCCCCUUUCUUUUCAAAUGACAAGGGUCUCUAUUUAUAGACCCUGAGUGUACCACAAAUUAGGAAAAAAUAAUAAGAAUAAAAUCAAAUUUUGAUAUUAUAUUAAUAAAACAAAUUUUCAUUUUCCUAAAAUAAAUUAAAUGAGAUAUUUUGAGAUUUUGUGAAAAAUAAAUUAAUAUAUCAAAUGAAUAUUAAGAUACUUUUAUUUAAAAUUGAUUUUCUUUUUUCCUAAAAUGAUUUAAGUAAGUCAAAAUUGAUACUAGAAGAUUUUAUUUAAAACAAAUUCAUUUCUUUUUUUCUAAAAUAGUACAAAUAUAAUAUUAAAAGAUUUUAAAAAAACAAAUUGAUUUCUUUUUGUUUCCUAAAAUGAUAAAAAUGAAAUAUUAUAAGAUAUUAUGUUAUUAUUAGUUUUUUUAUCUUUUUUUAAAGUAAAUAAAUAAAUAAUUUAGCAACUAUUACUAAUAUUAAUAUUUAAAAAAAAGAUAUAUAUGUGUAGGAUAAAAAUAGGUGGCUACAACAAAAAUAACUUCUUUAGAUCUGGUCAUCUCCAUUCCAAGAAAAUAUUUCAGAUUUCUCAAAUCCAAACAAUGUCAUCCACAUGAACUAUUGGAACAGCAAUCUUCCCUCUCUUGGAAACCUUUGUAAAUAAAGUAUGAUCAAAGUGCCCUUGACUAUACCCUUGGGACUUGACAAAGAUAGUGAAUCUGUCAAACCAUGCUCUAGGAGACUGUUUCAGACCAUAUAGGCAUUUUUAAAGUUUACACACAUGCUGACCAAACUGGGCUUCAAAUCCAGGCGGGGCUCAUGUAGACUUCCUCCACAAGGUCUCCAUUCAAAAAAGCAUUAUUAACAUCCAACUAGUAUAGAGGACAAUCUUUGUUCACAACAACAGCUAGCAAGACUCUAACCGUAUUCAACUUAGCAACUGGAGAAAAAGUUUAUGGAUAGUCAAUACCAUAGGUUUGAGUAAAUCCCUUUGCAACUAACUUUGCCUUGUGUCUGUCAAGAGUACCAUCUGCUUUGUAUUUGAGAGAGAACACCCAUUUGCAUCCCACAAUUUUGUGUCCCUUGGGCAUAACACAAAUUUCCCAAGUUCUAUUCUUUUCAAGAGCUUUUAUUUCUUCCAUUACAGCAUUCCUUCAUUCAAGACACUCUAAAGCAAUGUAGAUAUUUUUCAGUAUUAUGGUAGAGUCAAGGCUUGGUGUAAAAGCUCUGAACUGUGGGGAGAGAUUAUCAUAGGAAACAUAGUUGCAAAUGAGAUAUUUAGUACAAGACCCAGUACCUUUUCUCAUAGCAAUGGGAAUGUCAAGAGAGUGAUCAUACUCAUCAAGUUUCUCUGUAUGACCCUGUUUAACCUUGUUCACCUUCAUUAUUACUAGUUUUUGUUCUAACUUCAAUCUCAUCACCACUAUUCUUUUCUUCCACAUUUUCAAGAACAGCAACAUCAAACAUGUCAUUCUCACUUAUCGUAUUAUUAAUACAAGGUUCAGUAGGAUUUUCCAUACCUUAAUCUUGAGGAGGUUCAGAGUCUUGGACUGGAGCCGGCGAUUGACUAAUAGAGGACCCAACUUCCUUUUUGAGAUUCCUUCUAUAAUAUGUUUUCCAAGGAACUUGGUUAGUGGGUAGGACUAUGGGAUGAGGAUUAAUGUCAAACACGAUACUAGGAGUAGGUUCGAUAAAUUCAAAGGUGUUAUUAGACUCUUCACCUAGACUCUCCCCCUAAAGAUGGCCAACGGGAAAGUAAGGUCGAUCCUCACAGAAAGUAACAUCCAUAGUGACAAAACAUUUCUUGGACUACAGGUAAAAACAUUUAUAACCACGCUGGUGAAGGGGAUACCCAACAUACACACAUUUGAUCUGAUUAGGGCCAACAUUAUGGACAUAAGCGGUACAAUCAAACACACGAAGAGGAACCUCAGAAACAAGACGAGUAGAGGGGUAGGACUCCUUAAGACAAAAUCUAAGGGAGUCUGAAGGUAGAGAAUAAAAUAAGGCAUUCUAUUGAUUAAAUAAGUUGCUGUAAGAAUAGCAUCUCCCCACAAGUAUGAAUGAAAGGAAGUAGAUAACAUAAGGGAACGGACUACUUCCAGAUGAUGACGAUUUUUUGCUGGACCACUCCAUUUUGCUGAGGAGUGUAGGCGCAUGAGUUUUGGUGAACAUUCCCCUUGGAGGCUAGAAAUUCACUAAGGUUACGGUUUUGGAAUUUUCGACCAUUAUCACUCACUCCGAAGAAUAGCAAUUUUUUUAUGGAAUUGUGUUUCAAUGGUGUGAUAGAAAUUUUGAAAAAUAGUGGAAACCUCAGAUUUAUCGGUGAUAAGGUUGACCUAGGUAAGACGGGUAUGAUCAUCAAUGAAAGUUACAAACCACCAUCUUCCAUAUGAGGUGGUGACCUUGGAGGGACCCCAAACAUCACUAUGGAUUAGGGUAAACAGUUGUGUGGAUUUAUAUGGUUGUGAGGGAAAAGACACUCGAUGUUGUUUUGCCCGAAUGCACACAUCACAAGAUAACAAGGAGACAUCGAUUUUAGGAAAAAGAUGAGAAAACAAAUAUUUCAUAUAAGUAAAGUUCAGGUGACCCAACCAAAAAUGCCACAAGUCAUGUUCAGAAGUGCUAAAAUAGGAAGACAGUAAACUAGUCCUAAAGAUGCUACUACUAGAGGUAUCAUCAAUGAUGUAAAGAGCAAAGAAGAAAAGGAUAAGAAAUAUUUAGGGUAAGUUUUCCAUAUAUACAAAUUUUAACAUGUACUUAUAGCUUCGUGGCAAGAAAAGGAAUAGACUUUCUCAAAGUCGACUAAACAAUUUAGUCUUCAUAAAAUAUAAUAGAGCACUAAAGUGUCAAUAUAAUAUUUAGGACAUUGUCGACCCCAUCUCUUUAAAAGAAAUCGACGCUAGUAAUGAAUGGUUGCUUGGAAGAAUGGAUGCAAUUCAAAUGAGGAGGAGGAUCUUGUUUUCGAUGACGAUUCUUUAACAUAGAGCAAUGUUUCUAAAGUUGCUAGAGCAAAUGAACCUGCCUAUUAUUCUAGAGAAGGUUCCUCAAGAACUAAGUCUAAAGACUAAGGCUUCAUGUUAAUCUUCAUCUUCCACACAACUACUGCCCCAACCCAUCCUCACACCAGUUAAUUUGGACGGAUGAAGAAGAUAUAGUUAUAAGUUGAAUAAAGAUGAAGACCUAUUUAGUGAAGAUGACUUCGAUCUUUUAGGAUUUUAGAAUUAUAUUUGUGAUUGUUUUUAUGCUGUUUCGCUUAACUUGUUGUUGAAUGACUAAUAUUUAAAUCUUAUAUAUCCUCUCUUUUGUACCAGUCUCAUUUAUAUCCAUCUAUCCAUCUAUGUUUUGGUUGUGUAAAGAAACAUGUGUAUGUGUAACUUGGAAAAAAACCGCCCACGCCUUUUUGUGUAACUUGCACCUACGCUUCUGAGGACCAUUGCGUCUUGGGCAUUUAGAGACAUUGCACACAAGAUUUUGAUUCUGAGAUAAAAAAGAGAAUACAUCUCACCAUCAGACUGAGGUCUGUCACUUUGAUGUUGUAAACAAAAAACAUAGAUCAUAAUCUCCACAACGCUAUAGAGAGGCUAUGCAUAUCAAUUUAUUUAGCAGUUUCCAUGUGACCCCAUUUCCCUAAUUCCAUGAACCAUGAAGAUUGAAGAUUUAAACCAGUUCUUUCUGAUAGGUGAGAGAAAAGCCAAACCCUCUAGGAAGAGUGUAAUUGAAACAUUUCUGUGGCGUCGUCCGUCAGUCUUGGCAAAUAGGUUUUUUCUUUUUUUUUUUGUAGAAAUCUUGGAGUGAGCAAAAUGGUCGCUGUUUCAAGAACUUUUCCUUACAUUACUUCAUGGAAUUGGUACUCUCUACUGUGUUUUUUUUUCUUUUUUUCUGGGGGGCGCAAAUUUAAACAACUUAUUGUCCAUUAAAGCUUUAUCAUAUUUAAUCUCCAAUUGAAGAGCACUGUUGAAAUCACCAAUAGGUGUUGGGGUUUUUACUCCCUCAUUUCAUCAAUUAAUGAAAUGGUUUCUUUUUCAAAAAAAAAAGAAAAAGAAAAAAAGAACCAAGGUAUAAUCGGGCAUAAGAACUCUACAAACACAGGAGAAAACAUAUUUGGUAAAUAACGAGAAAGACCAACCAAAAAGCUACAGUAAGAGGGAACGAGGAACAUGAUAACUAAUGAGUAAUUAUAUUACAUCAACAUACAAAAUCCAGUUACAACUCUAGUUUGAAAGAGAAGGAAAACUGUGUGCCCAACUAUCUUGGUAACCCAUUAUGCAAGCAUUUUUUUUCUAAUUUGAACAAUGAAAAUGGAUAACUAGAAAAGCUUUCUAACCGUGCUUUAUAAACUCAACGAGAUUCCCAAUCCUUCAACUUCUUGCUCCCUUUAGGUUUUGUAAUUGGUGCAUUCAUUCCAGCCAUUUUUGCAUUGUAUUUUGCCCGAAGAGGAUCGUUAUAGGUCCAACUGCAUGACAGUAACAACUGACGUUAGUCAACCAGCAGAAUAACUUCGACAUGAAAAACACACUACAAACAGUAGAAUGAAGGCAAAAAAACAAACAAAUAGAGAAGAUUGCAAAUAGGGCAUUGUUCUAAUCAUAUCUUUAUAUUCUCUUCUAGAAAUAUAAACAAACUAAAAGCCUCAAUAUUGAUAUUAAACUCAGGCUGCUCAACACGUCCAUACCUCAAGCUCAUACUAAAAAAAUUUCCAAUCAUUCUCUACUUAACAUGCACUCAAACAUAAGUAGACAAAGGAUCAGAAGCUUUUGUAAUAGAUCGUAUUGUACUUAAUCUAGAUAUAAACUCAAUUAAGAAACCAAAAUUGAUAUUGCAAUAAUUUACUAUAGGAAACUGAGAAGCAGAAAGCAGACGAAGUUAAAUCAACUUACGGGUUGUUCCAGUCGGUUGUAUCUUCAUUGACAAGAUGCGUCCAUUUUGUUCUCCCACUGCGCCCAAAAUGCUUGACCUGCAUAACCUUCGGCAAUAUUGUCUUGUCCAUUUUAUCUUCUCCAGUUGGGGAAGAGAAAUCACGAUGGAAAAUAUUAUCAGAUCCAGCAGUUCCAGCAUUAUCAUCAGCAUCUUCCUGGAAGAAUGCACCCUUGUGGUAAUAUUUCUGCAUAAACUUCCACUUCUGCUUAGGUGGUGGAGCAGGUUUCGGAUUCUUCCUCUCCCAUUCUCUCCUCUCUUCCUCGGUCAUAUUUCUCACCUUCUCAAUCUCCUCCCUCUCCUUCAACAUUGCAUCUCGAAGUUCUCUAUCCCUCUUGAUCCUAGCAAUCUCUCUAACCUUCCAAGCCUCAUAUUCUUCUGCUUCAUUUAUUUCAUCAUCAGUAUCUACAUCUGCAAUAUUGGCCUCCAUUUCCAAAUUCUUCUGGAUCUCUUCAUCCUUUCUAAUCUCCUCAACCACAAUGUGCUUUGUCUCUGCCUUCCUUUCCUCCAAUCUCCUUUUUCUCAAUUCUUCAAGAGACCUUUCCUCCUCUUCAAUACGCUCACGUUCAGCAAUAGUUUCUCUCUCUGAUUUAGGAACAAAGAUUGGCUUCACCAUUGCUAUACCAGUAGGUUCAUCUUCAGAGUCAGUUUCAUACUCAGACUCCUCUUCUUCCUCUUCCUCUGGCUCCUCCUCCUCUUCUUCUUCAGGAAAUGCAGCUUCUUCUAGCUCCCUUUGUCGCAACUUUUCCUUGAUUCUUCUUCUUCUUUCCUCCAAAGCAUCCUCAUCCUCUUCCUCUGCAUCUAAUCCCUCCUGCCUCCGAGUUUCCUCUUCAAUGGUUGAAACAAUCUCAGCUUGGCGAAUACGUCGAUGAUCAGCUCUAAUCUCCUCCCGAUUAUCUAUCCUACUCUCAGCCAGACGGCGCAACCUAGGGUCAUCCUUCCUAGAUAUAUCUGAAUCUUCCUGCCUAGGAAAUGCUUUCUCAAGAGCUGCUGCCCUGGCCAUCCUAAUAUCGCCAUCUUCAUCGGCAUCAUCCGCCCACUCGGGAGCCUUUCCAGGCCAGUACCUCUUAACUUUUGUUUGUCCAAUUUUACCUCUAAGUUUGUCUCUAACAGCAAUUACAGUAUCACUAACCCCCGCCGUGACCGACAUUGUUAAUCGGCUAAAUUUCCAGAAGCAAAAGAUACACCAAAAGAAAAAAAGAAUUUUCUCCUUUUCAACUUAAAAAUUCACAAUUCGAUGAAGCUAAACCUGAAACCCAAUAAUGAAAUAAGUGCAGAGUUAAACAUAGAGUCUCCAAGCUCCCUAUAUUAUGACAAUGUCGUUAAAAUCGUAUGAUUCGAAAGGAAAAUAAGGGAAAACGAUAGCACUCGUAGAAUUGGAUCGGAAAUUAGACGUACCGUACGAUUCAAAUUUAAUCGCACGAACCGUCAUGAAUCGCAACUUCGCGAUUCAAGAACCGAUAAAUCAGAAGGAAAAAAAAUUAAAAACCGUCAUAGCAUGGUGUUUAGGGGUUGCCGGUGUGCUAUUGGAGAUGAAAAUUAAUGAAAACUUCAUGGUGAGGACUUCUCGGAAGAAAGAAAAAGAAAGGGGAAGAUCAACAGGGUUCUUUAUCUCUUUUUUUGAGUACAAAAUGUAAAUUGAAAAGUUGUCCAAACAGUUAAAAUAAGCUUCAACACAAAUUAAGCAAAACCCUAUACAAUCACAACGAAAACUCAACCUCCCUUUGUGAUAAAGGAAAACUCGAAACAGGAACAGGGAUGAAAGCCCAUAGCAUUUCUCAAUUAAACGCGCGUUGGAAACCACAAAGAGGGCGAAGGAUAAAAAGUAUGGUGAAAUUUCAGGCGGAAAUAGUCUAAAGUUAGAAAUACCUUCAAAGUUUUGGUCUGAAGUUGAGUAUAAGGGAGUAUCAGAGUUGAAGAAAUCCGAUCCGAGCAACGAAGAAAAUGGUGGGAGGGAGAAAUGGCGGAGGCAAGUAAUGAAAGCAGUCCGGAUCCUCUGAAAUCGAUAAUUUGUGAGAUUUUUUAAGAAUCAGGUAAAGGGGUAGAGGAGAGGAAAGUAUUUUUCUAUUUUCGUUCUUCUUUUUUUUUUUACUUUUUUAUCGACCUAAACUGUAGUGUUGACAACGAGAGAAAAUUAUUUUGAAAUUUUUAGAACAUCUCAUUCUUUUCAACCUAAAACACAUUAUCAUUUCAUUUCCUCUCUAAACUCUUUAACCUUUUUAUUAGAAAAAUAAUUGGGUUGAAUAUAUGGACGAUCAUCCUCAAAACUUACCGAUAAAAAGAAUGGCUUGCUCCUUAGAUUAUAAAGAAAACUAUCAUUUUGUUCACGUCACUUCAAUGUCUAAUAUUAGUAACGUGUAAGGGAUGUUUUACUCAUCACGAAAAGAAGGCAGCCUUGUCAUGUUGUCUCAUGUAAGUGCACAAGUAAAGAGUUAGACUCUUUAGAGAUUUUAUGCCCAUAUGAAAUAGUUGUAGUUAGGUCGAGAAACAUUACUUCUAAGUUUAACAACCUUUACAAUCUGGAAUGAAUCUCUCCUACAUAUUUUGAACUCAUAUUACCAAUUAAGCAUGCAUCUAAACGGAAAAAACUAACAAAAUACAUGUAAAAAGGUAAUCCUCCAACUUAAAAAGUACUUAGUGUUGAUCGGUCAGAAGUCAACCAAAUUCCAUUAGUUCAAUAUUGUUCAUUCCAAAGUUACGAUAAAUGUGGUAAUCUUGAACGCAAUUGGCUUCAUGCAACCAAUCAUUAUCAACUACUAGAAAUAACGAAUGACAGAGAUAUAGAUAACAUAUUGUUACUUCUUUUACCAAGCAAUUUUUAUUGGUGAAUGUUACAUGUGUAUAUAUAUGAUUUGAAUUUUAAUAAAAUUAUGAUGCUUUUAAAAAUUUUAAGAGAGUUGCGAUAAAAAUAUUGUAGGAAGUGGACACCUACUAAGAUAAUUGAGGAAGUAGUGAGAAAAAAAGAAUAUUGGGAUAGACGUUUACAUCCGAAUAGGGUCAUGACUUUUUGUGAUGAGUGAGACGUCCUUAAUGCAAUAUCAAGUACCUAGCGGCUAACUGCUCUAGGAUAUAACCAAAAGAUUAGUUUUUUAGGAGUUUAUCAUUCUUCACUAACGUGUUUCGAGAGGGCCACAUGUACAAAAAUUCAAACGAAUAACCCUUAAACAUGGAUUUUGUCACUAUUUGUAAUGAUCUAGUUUUUGUACUUCUAGAUAUGUAAUGUCUUGUCCUCUAAAUCGCAAGGAUUAUUAUCAUUAAUGAUUUUUGUAUAUUAUCAUUUGUAAUAAUUUAGUCCCAUUAGAAAAAUGUUAUAAAAUUUAAUGGAACUUUUUACACAAAUUAAUACACUCGCUAUGACCAAUUUUGUUUAAAUUUAAAAACAAAAAAAAUCAAUUGAGUUGUUUGUAUAACACGGCAUUUAGGUUUGAAAUGAUAUUUCACAGCAAGGACUACACGAUACGAUGCUAUAUGUAAUUAAAAUUGUUAAUUGCACACAUGUUGUGUAAAAAAAGAAAAUCAUGUUUGAUAACUAUUUUUGUUUUCAUUUUACUUUAUUUUAAAGAAAAUAAAAACAAUAACCAUAUUUUCGUUCUUUAUAUAUAUAUAUAUAAACAAACGGAAGCAAUUAUUCUUAAUCGACAUUUUUGUCUACUACCAUAACUUAAAAUGUUUUGAUUGCUUCCGUUGGUUGAUUUUGUUAACAUGUCAAAGACAUUGGCAACAACAUUGAGACCGUCAAGCAACAACUUUAGCAAAAGAUUAUUUCCAUAUACAAUUGCAUUGAUUAGUAGAUUCCGUAGAUUUAUAUCUUCAACAGUUUUUUCUUUCCUUUUUCUCAUGUAAGAAAUAUUUGUUUUCUCCUAAAUUAAUAUUCUCUAGGUUAGUUAUAUAUUUGUUACUCUUUUCAGUUUUGGGGUUAAUCGUCUCAUUAGAAAAGUGUGUGCAUUGAACGUUUUUAACUUAAAGUUUGUCUAUGUCUCAACCUUCAUAUUUUGAUAUUGAAAACCCUUGUAUUUGUUAUGUUGGAACUUUUGGUUAUGUAGCCAUUAUAGAAUUUAGAAAGAAUUCGAUAUUGAUGUUGUAUUUAGGGAGAGCCUAAAUAUAUAUAGUGAAUGUGAGGUUAGGGGAAGCCUAAGCACACUCUAUUGAAAGAUCUCACAUAAAGCUUUGAAGAAGCAUUUUGUGGGAAAGAGGGGAGCUAAACUUAGAAGGACCUUAAGUUGAAACGUUAGAGAGCAAGCUAUACGGAAGUCACUAAAAAUGGAUUUUAUCAUAUAAGUACUUCUGUAAUAAUUGCUAAACUCUAUAAUAGUGAAGUUUCAUUUGAAUAGGCACGUUGUCCCGCAAACGUAGGUGAUUUUGUACCGAACUAGGUUACUAAUCUAUGCGUCAUUACUUUUUAUGUUUGCUUUUAUAACAACCCCUUGUCAGAUAUAUUGUCUGUAAUAUCGUACUUAACAUAAUGUCUUUUGGAUCCAUCUAUUUUUUCCAUUUUAAAUGUUUGAAAGUAAUAUCAAUCAAAUAGAUAAAUAAUCAAAAUUUUGUGUCUAAAAAAUGUAAAUAUAUUAAGAAGAUGUAAACAGAUAUUGAUAUUGAUAAAAAAAAAAUGUCUUUUACUUUAAUUUGGUUAAAAUCUACUACGCUCUUGAUUUGAAAAAAUUAUAUUUGUUUUUCAAAUUAAUUUAUUCAUUAGAUAAUAACUAGUAAAGAUUGAAUCUGCUUUUAAACAAAUUUUAUUUUAAGUUUCAAUAUCAACGAGAAAUUCACUUGUCUUUGGGAAAAAGAAAAACAUAUUCGAGCUAAAAUUUAUUUGAUUAAUUGAUUAAAAUGAUAUCUCGUCGUUGCACUAACUAAAAAUAAGAAAAUAAAAUUUUAAGAUUCUAUCAAUCACUAACUAAAAAUAAGAAAAUAAAAAUUUAAAAUUCUAUCAAUAACAUGGAUUGAUGAUAGACACAAUAUACUUCUAUUAAUAGCAUUGAUAGAAAUAAAAUUGAAAACAAAAUAUUUUUUUGUUUACGAAACAUGCUCUUAUUAGGAUAGAAAGAUGCUACAUAAUCCAUGUAGUUUUACUAAUUCAACAAUUCAUCGAGAUUGGUUAAACAAUACUAAUAACUUUCAAUGCAGAAAGAUACAUAGGUGAAUAGUAAAAAUGCUACUAAAAAAUUAAUAGUAAAAAAUUGCAACUAAAUUUAAAAUUUGUUGAAGCUAGUAAUGACUGAAAAUAUCAAACAAAUGAAGUGUUGUAACUUAAAAUAAAUCUACAAGUUUAGAACCAACCAAAGUAGUUUUUGUUUACUUUUACCAAGUACCAGAUGGACUGGUGCUUUAUUAAGCUAAAAUCAACAUCAGAAAAUAGCUUACCUAAAAUCUAUGUUAAAUUCAAUACAAAAACAAAUAAAACUAAUAUUAAUGGAAAUCAAAACAUAACAAUUUAAAAUAUAAAAUCAAAACAAAAGAAACCUUGAAAACUUCUAAGUUAAUGCAACCAAUUGCUUCCUUCAUGUAGGCAAAAAUUCAGAAAUAGGAUUAAAUUAUAAUUUUGAUCAUUUUACGAGUUGGAAUUUAAUUAACGUGUGGUUUUAAGAGUUAGAAUUUAUAAUCCAAACAAUUUGAUAAAAUCGUAACAUUAUUUCUACGAUAGAAAUUAUUAAUAAAGAUUUUUGUGAAACCAUGAAGACUAAAUUCUAAUUAUAAACUAUAAGAGCUACGUUUCCAAAUUAACCAAACAACAAAUACCAGCAAGAAAAAGAGGAGAAAGAAACAGCCCAUUUUCUAAUAUGGGAGCAUGGCCUCUCUUCUCUAUCAGUGAUACAAAAUGACUUGGAAGUUUUUUUCUCCCAUGUAAGAUUCAGUUCAAAUCCGUCAAAGUGCAGCUUCAAGUUCCCCAAUAGAAAAAACCUAAAGGAGGAUGAACAGCCAGAGUACCAUACCAAACUGACCAAAGAAGAUAAAAUAAAUACAUCAGAUUAACUUGAUUCAAUGUCACAGCAGAUCUAUGAACUUACAAUUGCUUUUCCUGAAUCAACUGAAACUGCCUAAUUUCAGGCUCUACUUUUCUUCUCUUUAGCCGAAUGUUGAAAUGAGGAAAGUCUUGUAUAUGCUCAUGAACUUCGCCACAAAAGCUGCAUCAUCAGACAAAAAAAAUACUUCAAAAAUCAAGACUGACAGAGCCAAUUUUGCCUUCUUCAAGAUUUGUAUUAACAAAACGUUAGAACAUAAAGAACUUGAGACAAGAAAUCUUUUUACAAAUGUAUAAGGAGAUAAGAAUAUUAGAACGGUAGAAUUAAGAGAUAUAAGUAAUUAGACAGAAUAUUAUUGAAUAUGUUACUGAUCUUACUUCUAGUUAGGAAGUAUACCAACAAAAUGUCAGAGCAUGAAAAGUCAAAUUCAUGAUAUAAAAGCAUGCAUUAUCAAAACUCACUACUCUAAAGUUGCAGGUAACAAUUUCUUUUUUGGUUUAACAUGGAUAGCCGAACAUAUCCAAACCAUCAAAUUGUAUGGUAGUAUCUAUCCAUUAUUUGAUGGAUUCAAGGUUCUCACAAUGAAAUUAUGAUUGUGGCUAAGUUAGCCAGGCUAACUAAUAGAACCAGAGGAAGUAAGAAGAACACAGAAGUUAUAUUUUUGUGUAAUAACAUUUACUCCAUGCUAUGUGUAUUCUAAAUACAUUUACCUUCUAUGUGGAAGAUGGCUUUCUGUCCAAGACGCAUCCUGUGUUCCUGGAAAAAGAGUUAACCAAAGAUGAAAAAUCGGACAAAAGGUGAAACUCUAUCCAACCAUCUUUCAUCUUUUUUUUUUCUUUUUUCAUAUCCACCAAGUAUCUGGACCAGCUUACACGCACCUCGACUAAUCUCACGAAACAGCCCGCACUCUACAACAUUUGGGUGUCAAGAAAACUUGUAGAAAAUUAAUUUCCUAAGAAGGUGGACACCAUGGAUUGAACCAUGACCUCUUAAUUAGUUAUUGAGACUUUCUCCUAUUUUUACUACUAGGCCAAUCCAUGAUGGUUUAGCCAUGUCUCAUCUGUAAUAUCAUAUUGCUGAAUUAAUGCAUGUAGAUAUAUAACGCACUAUAGUAUUCAGAAAUUAUACAAACAUAAAUGAGUAGAUGAUUCUUCUUAUGUGAUUGUGAUGGUAAUUUAGCCAGACGUCGUUUAGGAACAAAUUGUCUAUGGCAUGGAAAAUUGGAAAUGAAGUGAAGUGCACAAACCAGUUCACUUUUCAGUAUUUAUUCAAUGAUAUUAGACAAAGUUGGAAAUUGAAGCGUGCUUGAAAGUAAAUAGUUGUGAAAAUGAAAUGACGAAGAUCUGAAAAGUAAAUAAUUCCCGACUUGUAAAACUAUGGGCUAGAUAAGGUUGAGAUUAAAACAUGGUUGAAAUUAUACAGACUAAUAGAACCAGAGGAAAAAAGAAAGACGUAUAUGGUUAAAAUUCUUCACUUCGUUGCUUUUAUCAAUAUCCAUCAUAGAUCUCAAUAUAAGUUUGUUUUAUUCAAUGCUCAGAACCUCUCCACCCAUCAAUAUUCAGCAAAUUUAACACAGGUUCUUAAAGUGCUUUGGAGGCGACACUUAAUUGGUGUUUCUUUCAAAAGUAAAGAAAAAUAUUUAAUUUUGAAAAACUAGUCUUCAAUAUGUCCACAUACAUUCAAUCUAUCAAGUGUAGGAUCUAAUCUGUUAGUUAGUUAUGACCAAAAAAUUCGAGAAAUUGCAAAACAAGAAAAACAUGGAGAACUUGAUAUUAGAAAAAGAGGACAAAUUACUUCAAUGAUAUUGGAAUCAAAAGUUGAACAAUAAAAAAAGAAUUUAAACGAAUUGAGAGGCCAAAAUUCAACUUACAUAAUAUGCAGCCCAAUGACAGACCUCAUGCUUUAAUUCAGCAUCCAAUUUCUUGAGUAACUCAUAAAGCAAUCUCUGAGUAAGUAGAUAAUAUGAGUAUCACAUUAAAACAGAAAAAAAUCAAUAGAAAUUGGGGAAGAACGAUUACCUUCAAUAUGAUCUCCGGAGGGAUACAAUUAACCAGUAACUCAUAUAACUUCCCACGGACCUGGAAUAAUCUAAAACGCAAAAAAAUAAUGUCCAUUUAUUUCAGACUUCACACAAUUCUCCAACUAGUUAUAUGACAGUUAAAGUAGUUAUUAGUUCUCCACAUAUAUAUUUCUAUUAGGCAGUUGCAACUUUUCACAUUUCUACAACUCUGCUCGACAAAAACAAAAGUCAAGAACAUGUGUCUUUUUUACCAAACUUUCAUUGAGAAAAAAAUGAAAGAAUACAAGAGGCAAACCAAGAAAAAAAUAACAAUCCCCAAAAUCCUAACGGUUAAUUACAAAAGUCCUUACACACAGAAGCAAAAAAGGGGACUGUGGGACACUAAACUCCCUCCCUAGAAUGCUCCACUCUUCCAAAAAAAGGUAUCAUUUCUCUCACCCCAAAGACACCAUAACAAAGCACAAAUGCCAUUCGUUAACAAAAUCUAGCUUUUCUCACUAAAGGAGAGAUGAACCAAGGGCUCAAUGCGAUCAAUGCCAAACUCUAGGCCCAACCACCCUGAGGCCAAACGAUUGAAAUAAACAAGUCUAGACAGCCAAAGCAUAAUCACGGGACCACCAAAGAUGAUCAAGAUCCUCAUUGCUUCCUCAAAAAGGUCAACAAGGAGAGGAAUCUUCAUUCAUUCAAUUCAUGACCAAACCAGACAGAGAUCACCAUAAUCAAGGAGGAUACCAUCCACAGAAGUUCAAGGAUUGCUUAUCUUUAUGUAAUUAUUUGUUAAUGAAAAAUACUAGCACGGCAUAUUUUAAGAAUCAAAAGCAGUUUGAAUGACAAUGUUAGAGACGUACCCAACUGAUGUGUAUGAAAACCACACAUAUAUGAUAUUGAGAUGUAUGUUAUAGUACAGAAUACAACAAAAAAAGGUACAUGAGGUACCUUUUGGGACUCUGCUCCUUCAUUAUUUCAGAUGCUAUCUCAGUGAUGUACUCCUCCCAAUCCAUUGGUGGUAUUGCCUGGUUGCUGACAAAAGGAUACCUAACCCAAAAAAUAAAAUAAAUAAACAGCUCAGUCCCAAUCCUUAAAGAUUGUUUACCAAGGUAAUUUUUUAUGAUAAGAAGUGAGAGAAACUUAGAUCUGUAAGAGGCCCAGUGGAGACUAACUGUUGAACACGGCAAGUCUCAAAUGAUAGUAUAGCUCUCCUCAAACUCCUGUUUGAUUUUUCUGCAAUACGGGAAGCAAAUCCAGAUGGAAGUUGCAGUCCUUCUUUCUUUCCAAUGUACUCUAAAACCUUGAAAAUCUGGUGAAAGGACGUAACUUUUUCAACAGCUUUCGAAUCACUACAAUAACAUUUUUAAACUUUCAACAAAUACUUUUGAAGACUAAGUUUUCAGGUAAAUGUAAACCACGCCAUGAAAGAGGAAACAGGCUUUCCACUGUCCACAACUUGCAAAUCAAAAGUCUUGAUCCACUUAAUCCACUAACGUAAUUUUUCCUUCUAGUCUAAAAUCUUUGGGUACAUAUAUAGGUAGAAUAUAUUACACGACAACUAAAGGCAGGAGCUACUGAAUAUAUGCAUCACUAGAAAAGGCUUUAAAUUGUUUAAAAGCAUAAAACAAAAAUUGAAAAUGGCAGUGAAUUUUCUUAUCCCAAAAAAACAAAAACCGGGUGAACUGCUUGGUUUUCUGACAGCAGCAUUGGUACCACUAACUAUACAAGGUAAGCAUUUGAAAAGGCAUUCUUUGACCUACUUACAUUUAAAUAUUAAGUUAAGACACCCAGAAAAUUGUUGCCCAUAGACUGCCAGAAUAACAUAUUGAAGAAUAAUUAGGUCAAUCACUGCCACAGAUAGGGAAGGUUUUCAUCCUUUAUUAAUAUGACGUCAGUUUACAAUAGUUGUCUGACUCCAAGUUCUUAGUCGAAUAACAAAUUGAAUGUGGCUAAAAUUUAUAAAUAAUCACACUGGUUAGGACAUGACAUUUUAUUACGUUCUUCCAGUCCAUCAUUUAGUUUACUCAAAUUCAUACCUCAGAACAAAAAGGAAAUAAGACAUUACAAAAAAAAAAAGAAAAAACUAUCCUGACCUGCUCCUCUGUAGGUCCAUUUAUCCGCACAUUUAGGCAGCGAGAGCGGAUUGCUUCAGUAACUCUUGAUGAACUAUUGCAGCAAAGAAUUAACCUACAGUACGAGCUAUAUUUCUCCAUUGUUCUCCUAAGAGAGUGCUGAGCUUCUCUUGAUAGUUUAUCAACAUCAUUUAGAACCAAAACUGAUAAAUGACCAGCACUAAAAAUCUCAAUAUCUUAUAGAGAUAUAUAAUCUUGCACAUACAAGCAUACUGGUAAAUAAAACAAGAUCCCAAACAAGCAAUAAAUCGAUAUUUUACUGGUUUGUUAGUGAGAUCAUUAACAUUUUUAAGCAUUAACCACAAAGAAUAAAUAAGUUCUCGGGCAUAAACAACUGAUAAAUAUGGUUGGAGGGGGUGAGGAAAAAUGAACACCUUUAUGUCCUCUUUUCCCUUUGGAAUCAAUUGGUCUGUUUUUUGCCAUUUCUUUGAUUAUCUCUUGAACAAUAUACCUAUCUUGGAAACCUGCAUCACUAGGAGUGAGCUCCACAUGGUUGGCACUUGACAAGGUUGUCAACUCUAUAUCAAUAGUUCUGGUUCCAGCCUGAGAAGAAAAAGAAAGGGCAUAGAAACACAGAGAGAGAGAGAGAGAGAGAGAGAGAGAGAGAGAGAGAGAGAGAUGGUGAUAAUGAUGAGAACAUAAAGUUAUACAGCCAAAUAACAUCUUCAACAAGUUAAAUUUUUAUGCUAAUCUAUAACAUUCUGAACUAGUAAUCAUAUCAACAGACAACUAGAAGAUCUCCUUUCCCAGAAUCUGAAUUCAAUUACUUUCAUACACAUGUGAAAGGAGAUGGCAUCACUAAGGACAAAUUUGGUAACCAUUUGGUUAUUGGUUUUUGGUUUUAAGUUUUUGAAAAUUAAGUCUAUACACAUCCCUUCCACCUCUAAACUUCUUACCUAGGUAUCUACUCUCCACCAAUGUUUCCAAAAAUCAAGCCAAAUUUUUAAAACAAAAAAAGUAGUUAUUUAAGAACUUGUCCCCUUUUAUUGUAAAUUCAACUUUUGUAUCAAUCAUUGUCAUAAACAACCGAAACUUACAUCAACUUUCCACGUUUUGUUCUCCACCUUCACCUGCAGGCAAAAGGCAAGAGAUGAUAAAACACAACAAACAGACAGAACAACGAUCACAAAGUUUCCCAGACAGAAGAAUAAACAUCAAGAUUCAAUACCUUAUCCGCACUGGGUCCAAACAUCUGCCGGAUAAGGGCCAUGACUAGGGUUUUCUUCCCAGAACCGGAGGGGCCAUAAAAGAGCAAAUGAGGGCAGUCCUGUUCAUUAACCUAGGAGAAAAUUUAUGGAAAACCCACAUCAAAAAACGCCAAAUUGAAGUAUGAAAUAAGGAAUGCAAGGGAAAAAAAAAACAACGAAAACCAGUUACCAAUUUCUUGAGAUUCUGUGCUACAUCUUGGUGAACUGUGAUCUGGUCUAGGGUUUUUGGACGAUACUUGUCGACCCACAACAUCUUCUCCGGUCUAUGGAGAUUUGAGAGUGUGGAGAGAGAAAAAAGAAGUGUGAGUGAAAGAGAGAGCGAAGGUUUAGGCGAGGCUUGAAAUGGCGGGAAAAAGAAACAGAACUGAUGGUUGAUGAGGAGGGGGAAACGAAAUCCCCAGUAGUCGCACUCAACUUUGACCCUUUUUUUUGUUUUCUUUUUAAGAAAAAUUUUAAUUUAUACCCUCCAAUCUGAUUUGUUUUUUUAGUACUUAUGUUAUAAUAGUUGUAGUUUGUAAUCAUAUUUUAUUUCAUACGAGAUUAUCCUUAGAUCUUCAUAGAUGAGGACAGCUCUUUAGUGCUAGCCCAAUAAGCCUAUCAUUUCAAGGGUAAGAUGUAAGACGAAGUUCAUUCUUAUCGGUUUUAGGGUUCGUAGAUAAGUUGUUUCCUUAAGGACUGAAUUCAAGUCUUGGGAAACGAAAUCCCCAGUAGUCGCACUCAACUUUGACCCUUUUUUUUGUUUUCUUUUUAAGAAAAAUUUUAAUUUAUACCCUCCAAUCUGAUUUGUUUUUUUUAGUACUUAUGUUAUAAAAGUUGUAGUUUGUAAUCAUAUUCUAUUUCAUACGAGAUUAUCCUUAGAUCUUCAUAGAUGAGGACAGCUCUUUAGUGCUAGCCCAAUAAGCCUAUCAUUUCAAGGGUAAGAUGUAAGACGAAGUUCAUUCUUAUCGGUUUUAGGGUUCGUAGAUAAGUUGUUUCCUUAAGGACUGAAUUCAAGUCUUAAACAAGGGGCUCCACCCUCUCAUUGGCCUAAGAGGGAUUCGGCUUAUAGGUUGAACCUUAAACCAAGUGUUCGAUAGUGAAUCAGUAGAACUUAUGGAGCAAGAUGUAGUCUCAUGGAUAAAACGGUAUUUUGAGCCAACUGAGGUUACGAACGACCUGUGAAAGAUUGACUUAAUGAUCAUAGUUUUAUCAAAUGGACACAAAUAUAUCUAUAGUAAGGGGAGUGCAACUACGAGACUUUAGUGGAAUGGUCUGUUAGUUAACGAAUGUUGAUUAACUCAAUCUAAAAGAGUUUAGCUAGUCAAUCUCGAAUCGUUGGAACUCAUGAUCUAUAGGUCCAUUAGGUUCCUCUGCUAGCUUUUAUGGAAUAAACUUAUAAUAGUAUGAUGGAAUAAGUCGAAUUGUUCAAAUUGAGAGAGGAGAAAGAAACCGACAAGUAUAUGGUGAUAUAGUCAUCGAAUUUUAGAAUAAGAGAUAAAGUUUUAUAUUUAAAUGAGAUUUAAAUAUUAAAGAUAUGAAUGCAAAUUGAUACUCAAAAGCUCGAAAAUGAUGGAAAUAGUCAAAAUUGUAAAAAAUCAAAAUGUUGAAAAGUCAAACUUUGACCGGCGAUAUAUUCAAAUGUGAUUUGAAUCUUGAGAAAAUAAAUGUGGAUUUGUGCUCGGGAGGUUGAAAUUAGUCAAGUUAGAUAAAAUUGUAAAAAGUCAAAAUGUUGACUUUUGGUUUGAAAAGUCAAAGUUUGAUUUUGUGCCAAAUGACAAUUUUGCCGUUUGACCAAAGUUAGUGGAAAAAUCCAACAUUUUGUUGAAUGAUCUCACUAACUAUAGUAGACUAAGUGUUAGCACACUACGAAGACAAUAAACCCACUAAUGGUUAGUGGGUUAUGUGUUGUUGGCGCAUGAGCUUACAUGCAUAUGAAACUUUGCAUGUGAUUUCUUUAUAAAAUGAGCUCUAUGGGUUUUGUUAAAAUCAGUUGGAUUUUUUAGUAUCAAAUAUGUCGGCUACUUCUUUUUCCUUUGUAAUUUUUUUUUAAAAAAAAAAACAAACCAAAUUUCAAGUCCAACCCUAUUCCUUCAUUUUUUUUCAUUAUUUUCUCUCUCAAUUUUCUUCAUCUAAUGGGUCCCACAACCCAGUUUUGAGUUUGAAGGAUAGUAGGUCAACUCUAGGGGUGGUGUAGGCAAAAAAAAAAAAAAAAAAUGAGAGCUUCGAAUGUAAGUUUUCUUAAAAACCCUAAUUUCAUUUUAUUUUUCGGUUUAGGGUUCCAUGUUAAUUAAGUGUAAUUAUGGUAGAAUUAUGAUCCGGUUUUGGCCGUCGUUUUUUUAUUUUCAUCGCGUGGUAUUAGAGCAUGUUUAAAUUUACCCAAUUGCAUGUGGUGGGUUCCAUUUUAUUAGAUAAAUUAUGGUUGAACUAAAAUGGAUAUAUUAUGAUUUUGGCCCUAAAUUAAGUGUUUUUCUAUAUUAAUUAUUGUAAUUGGCCAGAUUUUGUGGCUUAAUGAAUAUUGUGAAGGGUUUGUGUUUUUUUAAGAGUCGGUAGUGUUGAAUAUUAGGCUGUAAUUAUUUCACUGGGAGAGAGAAAAGUUGAUUUUUGAAGAAAUUUCAAAGACGGACUUAGAAAAGCCCUUAAGACCCAGUCUAGAUCCAUUAGGAACCCGACUAUAAAGUCGGCCCUCUUACACGUGCCCAACUAGACCCAGUUUGCGUGUCAUCUGACCCACAAGCAUGUCUGUCCUAGCUCACACCUCGCGCACGCAGCCCACAUGCGAGUCUAGUCUGACCCGCUCUGCGUACUUGUCAAAGCUAUUUCUUCGACCUGUGCGCGUCUAGUGGCCUACUUUGGUGGAUUGAGCUGGUUCAAGUCUAAUUGUUGGGUCUUAGCCGUUCAAGAUGGUUUUGGCCUGAUUCAGUGUAGAGUUGAUGUUUUUCCAGCCGGUUUGGGGUUGUUCGAGAGUGGUUUAUGUACUACAUCAAAUUAUUAAUGUAAUAAUUAAGAAUUUAAUUUAAUCUAGGGGUCAAAAUCAGUCUUUUUUAGGGUGUUUAUAAUUAAAUUAUGCAUGUGAUGUAUGUUUUAAUUAUUUUAAAUUUGUAUGUACAUAUUGUAUGUCAUAUAGAUAUAAAAUCCCACCAUGUUAUAAUGUUUAUAAUAUAUAGUACGCAUGUUAGUUAAUUAAUUAAUUAAUCUAAUUAAUUUUGAUUAAAUUUGAUUUAAUGAAUAAUUUUUUAUUUAUUUAACAUAACUAAUAUGAUUUAAUUAAAUGAUAAAUAAAUUAAAUUCUAUAUUAAUUAAUUAGUUUUAUAUAAUUGUUAUAUAUGGUUGUUAGAUGUGUGUCAUAGAUUAGUAUAACAAAGAUACGUUGCAUGCUUACCUAGGUUAAACAUAUCUUCCAAUCUUUUCAUAGAAAUAGGUCGAUAUCUUGUAAAUCCGAUUACAAGAUGCUCACCUGAUUCGAUCUUGUCAACAAGUCAGAUAAGAUGGCUAAGGUUGGAGGUUCUUAAGUUGACGGUUUAUAAAACACCCCUUACCUGGAGAUUGUAAUAAGUUCCUGAGCCUAGUUAACCUAGUUUUAUGAGCAUGCAUGAGAGAUUUGAGGUAAUAAAAAUUGGUUAUGGCCUAGACAUUGUAGGUUAAAAUCCGCUAUAAAGGUUAUGCUCAAUGUUUUUCUAGACUUAUGAUUUGUUUAAGUUAGCUUAAAUAUAAAUCCCAAAGUCUUAAAUUACUCUUAGAAACCGUUAUAGAACACUUCAGCUAGAGAGAAGUAAUGUACUUUUAGCACUAACGUCCCUAAGAGUUCACACGGUGAGUUCCAUGUAGGGCUUUGGGUUGUGUAUAGGAGCAAACUCCCUUCGGAGAAUGUUUGUAUGGAUCAAUAUCAAGGUGAAUAGGGGAAGUAGUUCAUAGUAAGUGAGAGAGAGAUAUGUGACAACACAUCCCACGAUCUCUUUCAUUAGGUGGCACUGUGAGAUUCCUAUAAUGCACAUGCUUGUCUGCCUUAGAGCGAUGUUCCCUUCGGAGGGUGGUAUUAUAGGAUUCAGAACAUCACAAACUUCAAAUAUGGAUAAAUUUUCUUAGAUCAGUUUUCAUAUUGACUUUCCACUUACGGAAGCAUGUUGAUUUUGAUCUAUGAGAUCCGAAAAUGACAGGUUACACUCACAAGAAUUACUAAGUUGUUAGUACAUUCUUGACCAAAGUAGCGAUAACUAAGUCCUAUAAAGAAUAAACAAUUAUUCUAGAGUUAGCAUCUAAGCAAGAUUGUCUUGGUUCAAAGGAGGAAGUAAUCCACUACUCUUUGAUGGAGGUUGUUCUAAGGGAAAUUGCAUUAGAUGAUAAAAAAAUUUAGAAAAAAACUGUUCAUAACAUCUCUUUUUUGCAUAUUGCAAAUUUGACAAAUAUGAGGUAAUCUGCUUUUAAAUUUGCUGUUUUUGUAAUUUUGAAAAUGUAAGUGACAUGGACUCUAUUAUCAUAAACUUUUUUACUAUUUUUACAAACUCUCCUUAUUCUAAACCUUUGAAAUAUCGUUACGAAAUACAAAUAAUUAAGUCUCCUGAGGUGAGGUCUUGAACUUUCUGUUCGUAUAACUUAGUCCUUGCAACCCUUCAACAAAACUAAAGAUUUUGUCAUUUUCGGUCAUAUCAGAUAUAUCUAACAUCAGCCCCGCAAAUUGCUUCACAUACUUCUGAAUGGUUCCAGUGUGUUUUAAUUCCCGCAGUUUUCGACGAGCCAAAAUCUCGACAUUCUUAGAGAAAAACUAUGAGCGAAGUUCUCUCUUCAAAAUCUCCCAAGUAUCUAUGGUGCAACGUCCUUCCUGAAUGUCCACAUACUGGGAUCUCCGCCACAAGUUUGCAUCUUCAGAUAGAUGCAUGAUCGUCAAUGUCACUUUGGCUUCUUCCAUAUUAGUAUUCAUGGCUUUGAAAUACUACUCAAGUCGAAGAUAAAGUUUUUCACCCAAACAAUGGGAUGCACUCAUACACCCAAACUAGAAGAACAUAUGGAAAUCCUACGAUCCUGACAACUAGGGUAGUGACUUUUUUAAAGGAGUCAAUGGUGAUGUGACAUGCUAUUCUUCCCCAAGGAUAGUUAUCAAAAUGACCCUCAUCAUCCAACAAUUUAUUAUGAUCCACAUCUACCCCUGUUGUUAUUUGUUUCCCUAGCAAAAAGUUCGACAAAAAAAAAUGUAAAGUUUUGUCAUUUCGUUAAACAAGUAAGACACAAAUGACCUUGGUAUAGACUCUCUAGUAUUAAAGUACUUACCAAAGAAUCUACCCUUUAGCUUCUUCAUGUCUAAUUUUGGCAAUACCCCACAAUUUAGACCAAUUAUUUGUUUUGAACUCCCUAAUUCUCAAAUGAACAAUUUCCUCCCUCAAAAUUAAACCAAAACUCAUAGUCUUUUGUAAGGCUACAUUGCCUUCUAAUUAGGUGAUACGAGAGCUGGCUGGAGAAUUUUUUUACUUUAAGUUAUAGGGAACUUCCAACAGGUAAUUCCUUAAAUCUUCCUAGUUUUUCAUCCAUCGGUCUUCUUUCUAUGUUAUUUAAAACAUCAAAUCUAGCGUAAAUACUAAGCUUAUGUACUUUAUACCAUUUAUUUCGUUUUAAAAUCAACAAAGCAACCUGCAAACAUAGAGAUAAAAUCACAUUGCAAUCUAUACAUACUCAAUAUAUUAGUCAUGUUAUAUGGUAUAUCAUUCGGUAUAUUCAUAUAUUGUUGGGUAUACUUCAUACACAUCGUCCCUUCUCAGUUUGUUUCUAAACACCUAAUUAGAUUUUGUUAGUGCAACUUUCUUCUUUGUUUUAGCUUCAUGAAUGAAGAAGUUUUUAAGUAUUUGAACAUAUGAAAUAUGAAAAUCCCAAAUUAUUUGAACAUAGAUACUAAAAUCUUAGACCAUUGGAUAAUAGACUAACAUAGAUAUCCCAUACAAAAUCCAUAAGUACCACAUUUUCUUUAAAAAUUUCACGAGUAAAAAUUAAAUAUUAUUUCAACCUUCAUUCUACUAGUUCAAAACAAGCAUUUAUCCCGCUUGUACUAUUUUCAUUCAUAAAAAAAUGUGCAAGAAACCACAUGCAUGUUGGUUCCAUAUAAAAAGAUAGUUCCACAGAACACAUUGUCUUGUUUGAACCCUAAAAUAAGUUUAAAAAACAUAUCGAUUUUAGUUUCAUACCAAAUGUUCUGUAAUAUACACAAUAUACCCUAAGAAGUUUAGUGAAGAACAAACAUAAAUUACUUAUCGAAACAGUAUUUGGCAGUAGAAAAUUUUCCUUUCUACCCGUCCUCGUUCGACGAAACCUUAGAUUUCUUACACAAAAAUUGAAAAUGCAUCAACAACCGAUUUUGUUCCAUAACACUUGCGGUUUUCAAAGGUUGCUUGAAGAUCGUUCCAUAAAGCUUGCAGUUUUCGAAUGUUGCUUGAAGAAGGAAGGUUAUGGGACAUGUUUUGAAAAUAAAACGGAUAUCCACCUUUUGUGUAUUUUUCUUACUUCUCAUUUACCUUAUUACUAUUUUUAAUAAUAUUAAUAAGAAUGAUGGAUACUUUUGGUCACUUAAAUGGUAUUCUUAUGUCCAACGUGUACUUAAACAUACUAAUUUAGGCCAUACGAGUUAAAACCCCAAAUAAAAAAAACCAAAAUUAUUCUAUGUAAAAUUUAAGUCUACAGUUAAAUUCAUUCAAUGUAUUAACAAUAAACAAAAUGUAACUUAAUCCAUCCUGUAUGAUUUGAGUUGUUAACAUUCUCUUAAAAUUCUCUUGAAGAAGAUGGGAUGGGAUGGGAUGGGAUGGGAUGGGAUGGGACAGUAUGGUGUAGAUGGAGUCCUUUUUUUGGAUCGGAUAAUAAUAAUAAUAACGACAAUGGCUUCCUAAAAUUCAUUCACCAAUUUGCCCUCUAUAAUUCGUUAACAACAACGAGAGAAAAUUGCCCAAUCUUCAAGUUCACCCCUAGCCUGUAAGCAUCGAACUGAGUCAUUGUAUUGGCGAUUUCCUCGAGAACUACUUCAAUUACAGCUCCAAUUUCCACUUUGAAGCCCAAUUUCAUCGCAGAUUUCCUUCUUUCGUAAGCAAUGGAUUCAGCUACUUUAACCAUGUCAUCGUCUGUCAUUUUGCGUAAUUCAUCGCUGAAAUUACUUGUCAUUAGAAAGAUUCAACCCCCGUUGUGUUUCAAAAGGAACAAGUUCUCCAAGAUCUCCGCGCUCUAUCCCAAUGGCUCUGCUUCUGGGGUUGGUACUUUUCAAAUUUCUUACGUGAUUCUAUUUUCUGUUUUCUGGGUAUUACUUGAAAGCUAUUUAUUCAAUGAAUGGGUUUAUUGUACAUUCAUUUUUGUGCAUUUGAAGGUGUUUGGUUGUUUGCUGCAUACGUAGGAAUAUAAUUGGGUCUUUUCGGCUAUGUUUUUCUGAUGGAGGCUGAGCAUUUUGGUUUAAAGUUACUGCUUCGUUGUGUUUUUUCUUCUUAUUCUUAUUAUAUUUUCAUUCAGUCUAAACUUGACAAGGUUUAAUGAGAAAGGGUAGAGCAUCUUUUUGAUAAAAGACGGACUUUCGAUGAGAAAAGAAUGAAAGAACACGCAGACAUGCAAAAGAAACCAAGGCUAGGAAAGGAAACAUCCUAGAAAAGGAUCUCCAAUCUAACAAAAAUAAGGCCUAACGAAUAAUUACAGAAGGAACUCAUCAUCGAUGCUGAGAGAGAAGCGUUAAACUUUAGCACUUUGCCAAGGUCCAAACGUUGAAAGGUUCCCUUGGAUUUUCGAAUCACCUAUAUCCCUAUCUUAUAUCCAAUAAAAAACAUGAGGGCUAUACUUAUAAUAAUCUGAGACCAUAAGGAUGAGGAUUCAUGGUAAAACAUAGAUCUCCCACAUGUGAUAAUGGGGUCUUUAUAUAACUAUUGUUUGUUUGAUGUUUAAAUUGUAGAAGCUCUCAUUGCAUAUUUUGAAAAAGAACCGUGUUUUUUUUUUUUGCAGUGGUAGGCACCAUGGCUCGUUACCUGUUGAAUUGGCAUAAUUGUUCGAAACUUGCUAGAGCAUUUCACAAAUAAUAUUUUAUGACAUUUGCAUUUCGCAAUGUAACUAUACGUCAAGAAGCUCUUUAAACUUUUUUGGCUUAUUCUUUCAUACGCUUUGUGAUUGUGUAUGGAAUCAUUUGCUUGCAUCUUGCGACUACAGUUCUGCAUUCAUAGUUUCCAUAUAAUAUGUCUUUGAAAAUAUUCUGUGUGUAGCAGGGGGAUUCUUCAGCUGCAGAUGUUCAUAGACGACGAAGUUCUUUUGAAUCUUUGUUUUGUUAUGACAAGGCUAUCCCAGAGGAAAGAAUUGAGACGCCUAUUGGAAUAUCUCUGGCAGAGAAAAUGAUUGGAAACAAUCCCCGUUGCACUGAUUGUCAAGCCAAAGGUGCUGUUCUUUGUGCAACUUGCUCUGGCUCGGGCUUGUAUGUCGACUCAAUAUUGGAGAGCCAGGGAAUAAUUGUGAAAGUUCGUUGUCUAGGUAAAAUUGUAUUCCUUCUUAACUAUUAGUAGCAACAUUUAGGAGUGGUUCAAAUUAUGGAUAUUUUUUUAAAUGGAGUCCUGUUUUGUAAUUUUCUUGUGUUUUCCCGUAUUUUUUCUGUUGCUCUUUUGGCUCCUUUUGGUUCAUGCCUCCUCUUUUUGUAGGUCUCUUUUUGGCUUUCGUGUUUAUCUUCUUUCCUUUAUUCUCAAAUGAAAGUCGUUUUCUUCUCCAGAAUGGAACUUUUUAUUUUGACCCUGCUAGAUUGUUACUUAUCUAGUGGCCAUUAUGGUUUAACAUGAAAGCAGAAAGAAGUCAACAAGAUACCAAAUGUACUUUUCGUGUAGUCAUUUCCAUAUAACUUGGAAAUUUUUAAGAAAUCGAUGCUGGAAUCUGCAGAAGCUUUUGAAUUGAUUAGGCUUUUUUCUAUCCUGUGCAUUUGAUUCAAUAAUUAUACUUCUUGAAAAGGGGAAUUUUUUGUUUCAUCACUGUCAGUCAUCUGUACUCUAAGUUGUCCAUGUUUGUGAUAUAUAAUUAAAUUUGCUUUCAACCACUAGCUUAAGCUUUUAGAUGAAUUGGUGGUUUAAUAGUCCGUUAACUCAUUGAAAAGUUAUUGUCCUAACUCUGCAAUCAUCUUCUUGUAGGUUGUGGUGGAACUGGCAAUAUCAUGUGUUCAGAAUGCGGUGGUCGAGGUCACCUGGGAUCUAAAUAAGUUGUGAAGACUCCUUUCUGAAGGAUUCAUCUUGAACUGUCCCCAGCUGUAAUAUUGGGCAUGGCUUAUGUGUUGAUGAUGGGAUAUAUUAAUCUUGCAAUUCAGUGAAGAUCGAUAGAGUUAAUUUUGAUUUAGGCAGUUUGUGGGAUAUCCUUACCAUAUUUCAGUUCAAUUUUGGUUUAGCUCAAAUUACUCCCCAGUGUUCUCUUCCGGCAACAUUUGUACUUGUAACUUUGUUUGUCAAAUCGACGCAACUUGUAACAGAAAGUUGUGGAAUGUAUGAACUAUGAUGUCAGAAUACAUGAACUACAAGGAUUUUUUUUUCACAAUUACUGGUAUCUCUUUGUUCUUUUAUUCUUUUUAGUAGUUAUCAAGCUUUGAAGCUUUAUUAUAUGUUUGAACAAAAAAUCUACCCUGAAUUUUUCUCUAACUUCUGCUCAAGAAAGCCAAAAGAACAAGAUUUGUAGGGAAGGGGGGAAGAAAGAAGAAUAAAGCCGGCAUUUAUGUUUCAGUGGGCUCCACGAAAGGCUUCUGUUUUUUAGGCCAGUCUCUUACUAAAACUUGAGGAAUGGUCUAAAUCUGCUUCUUCACUUGUUUUCAAGUUUUGUGGUUGAUUAAACUGCGAUCUCCGCUGAAGGCGUUGAAUCUGAUCAGGCACGGUGGAGUCAUAUCGAGGAUUCUGGGGAUUCUCUGCAUAGGCCACGUAAUAGGCAGAAACACAUGCUUGCGGCCAUGCCAUUGCUAUUCGACACUGCAACAACAACCAUGAGCAUUGUCAUCCAGAAGUUAAACUCCUCUCAGGUAUUAUACUAAAUUCAGUUAAAGUUCAGAAAAGCCAUUUUUAUAGUCGAUAAUAUUUUAGCUCGUUACCAGAAAAUAGCCAAUUAGGAAGGCAUAGAUUGCUAAUUCUGUUGCGUAGUUCUUGUGUAUUACAAGUGUCCAGAUCCCACUUAUAAUGCUGCAGAUUGCACCACUUGAAACCCCACAGAGAACGCAGAAGGACACGGUGAGAUCAGAAUGUAUAACAAUUUCCAACUCUGCCCUUUUGAAUGCUUCCCAGGUAUCAUAGGAAGCCUGCACAAUCCCUUUAUUGAAAACUCCGACGUGGACGAAACCCCACCUAUUUCCAUGGCUUCUCAGCAACGAAGCCAAUCCCGAGCAGCAGUUUGCACAGGAGAAAAGGAACUCAUCUGAGUCUCCUGCUACCAGCCUCAUGGAACGUGCAGAUCCCUGAAUGAAGCUAAAAAGGGGGAUGAUGGCUGAGCCAAGAGAAAUAGUUCCAACUGAAUUCUUUAUUAUGUCGUGGAAAGCUGCUCCUAUGUCCUUUUCGCUACCCUCAGCCAAAUUCAAGUACUUUAUGCAUGAGAUUGUAACUUGCACUAUGUUCUUGAUGACCUGCAGACUCCAGCUUAGGAUCAACAGUAUUGCUGCCACGAACAAUGCUGUAAAAUCAGACCUAAGAGCAAUUGCUCCACCGAUACCAAUGACCAAGAAAGAUGCAUAAAGAAUGCCAAUGAUGAUUGAUCCAAAAACAAAGAUUGAGGUGUUCUUCGGAGGAUAUUUAGUAGAAAGUGAUAGAAGUCGAAUUGCGUAAUUCAAACGGUGAUUGAUCCAACAGACAUAUACCGACAGAAUCAAGGAACAAACUAUGAGAAUCACUCCUGCUGCUAAACCACCACGAGAUCCAACAAUGACAAAGAAAACGCCAGAAGCGAGAGAUAGAACAGGGCUGAACCAGAAGGCUGUCUUCAAAGCCAUAGAAGGAGAACAACCGGUGAAGGCCUGCCAUGAAAAGCCAAUGAUUCCAGAGCUUCCAGUAGAAGCCAACAAUGGAGGGUACCACUUUCUUGGGUGAAAAUGAUGUGUUUUAGAAGCUGCCUGAAGUCCCCGAACUGUCAGAUAGAUUACCAACACAGCUACCAGCCAUAGAUGGACAACUAAAAUUAUGUGUGAAAGCCUCCUGAAAAUUCUCCAUCCUACGGCAGGCUCGUUCAGACGGAUGGGUUCUUGAACCUGCAACAACAACCAACAAGAUUCAUCCAUAUACAUGUACGUCAACCUCCAUAGACCAAAAUGAAUCUGAAUUGACCUGAAAAUGAAAAUGAUUUCUUGAGAAAAAAAGAAACCAACCAACCUUGUUAGGAGUUGAAGAUGAAACCCUUAUUUGUUGAACUUGUAGGGAUUGAUUCUGCAAUACAUUUGGUGGUGUUCGGGUUUCCAUUUUUUCACUACAGGAAGAAACCAGUUCCUAAAAUUCAUAAAAAAAAAAAAAAAAAAAAAAAACAGAAGCAGUUCGUAGAACCUUUGAUGUGUUCUUGAAGUGCUUUGGAUUGGUUGAUGAAUAAGUAAUGUGCUUGAAAAUCCUUGGCCUGCAAGAUUCAACAUAAAAAACUCAAUGCUCUUGAGAUUUGAACUUUUCCAAGUCUUGUUAAACUAAUCAUUUCUUGGAAAUCUGUGUGUAUAUAUAAAAAUGUAUCUGGAAUUGAAUAAUUUUGGGUCAAAAUGGUUGUUGGUUGCUGGUGUGAUGACGUGGCAGCAUGAGGGGAUGGUGACAUGGAGCAAUGGGUUUCUUCUUGGUUUGUCUUAGGUUAUCAUCCUUGUGAUCCACCUCUCUCUUCAUAAAGAAAAACGGUAUUUGCUUUCUUGCUUUUAAAGUCAGUUCUUUUUUCUUUUCUCUUUUUCUUUUUUUUUCUUUUUCCUUUUUCCUUUUUCUUUCUCUCAAUCAACUCAAUGUUGAACAACUUAACUAAAAUAUUUUUCUUUUCUUCUUUUUUGUUAUUUACUUUCUAAAGUAGAAUCCUAUGUUUUUGAAAAGAAAUGCACUGUUUUUAGAAUCCAUUUAUAGUUUAUAUUUUUAAUUUCAACUCACUAUAUAUAUAUAUAAGUAAUUUACAGUUUUGCCUUCCAACUUCAAUAAUUUAAAGUUUAAUAUUAAAAGACAAACACCCUUUCAUGUUAAUGAUUGUGAACCAAAGAUGGCUUCCCAAGUUUUGUCAACUCUUUUCUUUCUUUUAUUUAUUUCUCGAUAUUAAAUUUUCAAUUUUACAAAUGUAUCAAUAGAAUAUCAAUAUUGAAAAUUAAUUUUGUAAAUUAAAAAUUUAGGCAAUUUUAACACACUCCAUUAUAUAAGUUUUAUUUGGACAAACAAAUAUACGAAUUUUAUAAUUUUAUCAGUAGAAUCCCCAAACUUUUAUGAUUGAAUUAAUUUAAAUUUUCAAUUAAGACUUUAUUUAAAGUAUCCUAAUUGAAUUGCAUUUUGAGAAACUUAUUAUUGGUGUGUAUCUAUCUUGCUAUGUUGACGCAAUUUUAGGCCUAGAUUUGAAUUAGGUUAAAGGGAUGGGAAGUGGCUCGUGGCAACCAGGUUGGUGGGACUUGCCGUGUGCUCUUUCUCAUAUUCUAAAGCUGGAAAUUGGAAUGUGGAAACUCUCAAUUCUUUUUCAUGCCUUCAGAAUCAUCCAACUUCCCAAAACGUCUCACUUUCCUUACCCUUACUUUGCUUUUCAAAGUAAACCAACAUUUACUUUAUAAGUAUGAUAAAAAUUACUUUUCUAGACCCGCUUUACCUAAGUGGUAAUUUCACGUAAAUUUUCAUUUCAUCUCUCUCUCCACCGUUGUUGUACUAAAACAUCUUUAGAAAAUACAUAGCAUUUGGAUUUUCAAAUUUACAAACUUGGUAAUGUUCUUGUCCUCUGUUUUUUAAAACAAGAAACAAAGAUGUAUUUGAUAACUGUUUUUGGUUUUUGGUUUCUUGUUUCUUGAAAAACAGAAAUAGAAAACGUGUUUGAUGAUAGCUGUUUCUUAUUUCUUGUUUUCUUAAUAAUGUCCUACAUUAAAUAUAUGUUGACUUACGUCUGAUUGAUAUACGUCGAUGGUUAACCACUCAUUUCUCUUAAAUCUACCUUGAUAACUUUAUCAAACGAAAAUAUAUCUACCGUUAACUACUCCUUUCUCUAAAAUCUACAUCACUAACUUUAACGAUAUUUACCAAUAAUAAAUCAUUUUUGGAUUUUAACAAUAUUUUGUCGUUUGCAUAAGUUCUCGUUCUAAACAUUUAUCAUUACCUUGUAUAUGAGAUUGGAAUGGGAAGAAUGAAACUUUCUAUAAAAUUUGAGAUGAAAAAGGUCUUUAAUCCAUUUUUAUCCUAUAUAAUCCUUACAAAUAUUUAUAGGAAAAAUAUUAUAUAAAAGAACAAAGAACAAAGAACCCAUAAAGAAAGUUAAAAUUUUUGAAUUUGUAAAAAAUGAUGGUAUAUUUCAAAAUUUAAAAUUUAUGGUUCAAGAUUACAUUUUUUUAAGGUCUUGAAGUCACCAAACAAACAAAAGAAAAACAAAUAGAGCAAAAUUCUCAUUUAAUUCCUUUGUUUCUGUCUUGUUGAACAUUUCAAAUGUACAAUGAAAGCUUCAACUCUUUCAUUCAAUUCCUCUUCUUCUUCUGCUUCUUCAAUUCCAAUUCCAAAGUUCAUAAUUUCACACAACAACCUAAUCAAACCACCAACCAAGGAGAAUACUAUCGAUAUAGAUUUAUUUUAAAUAUGUGGAACUUAAAUGUGCAAAGGAUGCCCACAAAAUGAUGGGAGGUAAAAAUUGGCUAAGCACAAUAAACUACAAAAACUGUUGUAAAAAUUUCGUUGAUGACGAUCAAAAUAACUUGCUGCGUCGUGAAGAAUCACUGUCCGAAAAGAAAAAUUUGGCGAUCUUAAUGCCGGUUGCUUCUCAAGUUUAACAUAACUCCCUACUUCAGACGUGCACUCAUCGAAAAUAGGAAUAGAAACGAUGAAGGAUUGCUUAGAACUUUGUAUCGGUAGGGAGGAUGAUGUAGAGAGAAAGGUAGAUAUGAGAGGUUUUGUUGAAUGAAAAUGAAGCGGAGGAGGGCUCUAUUUAUAAUGGAGUCCCCCUCAACUGCCAUAUGAAAUUUCCUCAAAAGAAAGGCGAGGAGGAAAGAUCGAUAGCGGCGUGAAGCGUGGAAGACCGACUAUUCGGGACGACUAGAGAAGUGUCUCGAACUGCGACUCAUGGCAAAGCUUUCGUCACUGAGUGAGACAUGGCGGGCACUUGGGAAAAAAAAACUAUUCGGAUGAGUAUCAAAAAAUACAUCCUUGCGCAAGGGUGGUUGUCCGAGCCCUUUCACAAUAAUUGAUGGAUUAAGGUUCCAUGAGAAUUUCACAAAUUCUCACUUUUCUUCUUCUUUGUUAUUCUUUAAAAGAGAAAUUCUCUUUCUCUUCCUUCCAAACUUUAGAAUAUUAGAAACUCCCACGGAACCUUUUAUUUUAUUUUUCCUUUUUUUGACUGAUUUCAUCUUUCUUUUUCUUUGUUUUCUAAACUUUAUGAUGGUUUUCUUUCCAUUUCUCACUAAUGAAUUUAAACAUUUUGUUAAAUAAAUACUCCAAUUCUAAACAUAAUACUAACUUUUUGUUUGUGUUCUCAAACACUAUCUUCACUUUUUUAAAUUGCUAGUACAAAGUGGAUAACAUAAGUUUAUUUUCAAAAAUCAAAUAUUUAUUUAAACACAUCGCUAUUAUUUAUAAUCAUUUCUAAAUUUUUUAUAAGAAACCUUCGAGCAUUGGAUCUAAGAAUCAUGUUAAACAACAAGACUCAAAGAAUAACAACCCAACAGCCGCAAAACCAAUUUGAUUUCAACCCCUAACAAACCAAAGAUUGGACAACCUUACUUGAAUACUCUAAACACUCUCUUCAAAACACUCCACAAGUAAGACUCAUCAAUCCUUACUUAAAUGCUCUAAAUAUUCAUGCAUUCUAUCACAAGAACAAAUUUCUACGUUCUAGAGUUUUCAGAUUUCAUUCAUCAUUUUUUUUUUUAAAUAUGAAAAUUACAAUCUUAUUUAUACUAAUUAAAAUAUGAAAUAAAAGUUCGCAACAUUUAAUUUUAUGUCCUUUCAACUACCAUAAUAAAUGAAAACACAUAAAUACAUAAAUGCAUAAUUCCUUAAACAUUUAAUUUUAUUACUUUUGAGUUACCCAAAUAUCUCUUCAACUUUCAAGCAUUGCAACCCUUCAACUUUCAACUUCUUCAUUGAUUCAAUUAUGAUUUCUUGAUUCAGAUCAAUUUUGGUUCUGAUGGGUGCAUUUGUAGCUUUCACUUAGCUUCAUGGAUGAAUCUAUGGAUCACUCUCGUACUAUUUGUAUGUGCUAAAAUGCUAUUUGGCUUAGUAUGGAUCAAUUAUGAGAGAAAAGAAAAGGAAACGAUUAGGGUUUUAUUUUUUUGCACUAAUCCUUAAGGUGCCAAUCACAUUCCUUUUAAGAAAAGGAAGGAAAGCUAAAUAAUCAAUAUUAAAUUCAAUUCUCAAAAGAUUUAGAUGUUGGAAUAAAUGGUUAUGAUUCUUCGUGAAUGGAUGUAUCAUGAGUGGAUGCAUCAUUUCAUGAAAAAUUGGAAUAAAUGGUUAUGACUCUUCAUGAAUGGAUGCAUCAUUUCAUGAAAAGUGUCGUUAACUAAAGGACAUGACUUUUUGGACUUUUUGAAUGGCCACAAAAAGUCUAUAAAUAAGUCAUUUUGGUUGAGAGAAAAGUACAUAGAAAAAAUCAUUUGUCUUUAAUAAACAAAUUUCUCUCCAUAUCUACAAUCUUGACGUUCGGUAGAUUCACAAGGUUUCGCUCGUAAAUCUUCUAUACAGGGUGCUACACUUAGAAGAAAGUUGAUCUGUUCUAUCCUGGGAGGCAAUUACUCUAAAUUCUCAAGCACUAGGGUGAGUAAAUUUGUCUUAAGGAUACAACGUGAAUUCGUUGAGCUCAGAUCUAUAUUUGUGUAUGAAUUUUCUAUUCACUGAUAAUAUACCUAGCAAUUGAUAAUCUAUAUAACAAUCUUAAGACAAAUUUAUAUUUCACACAUAUACAAAUUAGUUUGUUUUAUAUAUACAUAUUGUUUAGAUUUUUUUUUUUUAUCACAGUAAGCCUAUUAACUUGAAUGUGUUAAAUAUUUUUGGUUAUUCAAGUAUCUCAUUAAGAAAAUUAACUUGAUUGAUUUUAAUUAUUUCUUUUUGUUUCAAAUAUCAUAAUAAAUAUAUUAAUGGUAAGAUUUCAUCUUUAAUUAUUUGUUUAACUUUAUUUGUUUUGAAGAUAUGACUUCAACAAACUUUAAUUCUCCUGUAACUGGUGUUGCCCAUGGGGAGAAACCAGAAAAAUUUGGUGUGUGUUGAUUUCAAACGUUGGCAACAAAAAAUGUUGUUCUAUCUCACCACUUUAAAUUUGGCAAAGUUUCUCACCGAGGAUGCUCCCAUUUUACCUGAGGGAGAAUCUAACAAAGAAAAGCAACUUGCAGUUGAUGCAUGGAAACAUGCAGAAUAUCUUUGCAAGAAUUACAUUUUGAAUGGGUUAGAUAACACACUAUACAAUGUGUAUAGUAGUGUUGAUUCGGCCAAAAAUCUAUGGACUUCAUUAGAGAAGAAGUACAAAACUGAAGUUGCUGGUGCAAAGAAAUUUAUCGUUGGAAAAUUUCUGGAUUACAAAAUGGUGGACUCCAAAACUGUAAUCAGUCAGGUUCAGGAAAUCCAAGUAAUUCUACAUGAUAUACAUGUUGAGAAUAUGACUUUGAGUGAGUCUUUUCAGCUAGCAUCAAUAAUUGAAAAAUUGCCACCUCAUGGAAGGACUUCAAAAAUUAUCUCAAGCAUAAACACAAAGAGAUAAAACUUGAGGAACUUGCGAUCCGACUUGGGAUUGAAGAAAAUAAUAAAAAGGCAGAAAAGUGUACUAUGGAUAGUACAAUGGAUCCCAAGGCCAACAUUGUGGAAAAUAGACCACAAAGUAACAAGAAAAUGAAGUUUUCUAGGGAAGGUUCAAAUAACAAACCACGAUUCACAACAAAGUUCAAUGGCAAGUGUUACAACUGCAACAAAAUGGGACAUUAAUCAAAAGAUUGUCGUAAGCUAAAGAAUCUUCAGAAAAAACAUGCCCAAGCUCAUAUCACAGAAGUUGAUGAAGUAUCAGAUGGUGUUGCAGAUAUUGUCCUUUGUGCAGUCAUUUCAGAAUGCAACGUGGUGGGCAAUUCCAAGGAGUGGUGGGUAGACACUGGGGCUACUCGUCAUAUUUGUGCCAACAAGGAUAUGUUCACAUCAUAUGUGCCAGUUUCUAGUGGAGAACAACUAUUUAUGGGUAACUCCUCUACUACAAAGGUUGAGAGACAAGGCAAAGUGAUUCUUAAGAUGACCUCUGGCAAGGAACUCACUCUCAACAAUGUGCUUCAUGUUCCAGACAUUCACAAGAACUUAGUUUCUGGUUCAUUGCUUAGUAAAAAUGGCUUUAAGUUGAUCUUUGUAUCUUAUAAGUUUGUACUUUCCAAGAAUGAGAUGUACUUUGGAAAGGGUUAUUACUUGAGUGAUGGUCUAUUUAAAUUAAAUGUACUCACAGUUGUACCCAAAAGUAUUAUUAAUAAAGUAUAUACUUUUGCUUAUAUUGUUAUGUCAUUUGUUUGGCAUGGCAGAGACAUGUUAAUUUUAAUUCUUUGCGAAGACUAAUUAAUAUGAACUUGAUUCCAAAAUUCACUUUUGACACAAAUCAUUGACGUGAGGUGUGUGUGGAAUCAAAGAUGACUAAAGCACCUUUUCGUUCAACUCAUAUAAUUACCAUACCUUUAGAGUUAAUUCAUAGUGAUAUUUGUGACUUGAAAUUUGUGCAAACUAGAGGUGGAAAAAAGUACUUUAUUACUUUUAUCGAUGAUAGCACAAGAUAUUGUUAUGUUUAUCUGCUAAAAAACAAAGAUGAGGCAAUUAAAGUGUUUAAGCUUUAUAAAAAAGAGGUUGGAAAUCAACUUAGCACAAAAAUUAAGGCAAUAAGAAGUGAUCGAGGUGGUGAAUAUGGUCCUCCUUUUGAACAAUUUUGUUCACAACAUGGCAUUAUUCACCAAACUACUACUCCUUACUCACCUCAAUCCAAUGGAAUUGUUGAAUGCAAAAAUCGAACACUUAAAGAAAUGAUGAACGCAAUGCUUAUAAGUUCAGGUUUACCCCAAAAUUUGUGGGGAGAAGCUUUGUUAACAACAAAUUAUUUAUUAAACAGAAUUCCUCAUAAGAAGUCACAAAAUAUUCCUUAUGAAAAAUGGAAAGGAAGAAAACCUUCAUAUAAAUUUUUAAAAGUAUGGGGGUGCCUAGCAAAGGUUGUCGUGCCUAAACCUAAAAUGGUUAAAAUUGGACCAAGAACUGUUGAUUGCAUAUUCAUUGGUUAUGCUAGUAACAGUUGUGCAUAUCGAUUUAUAGUUCAUAAAUUAGAUAUUUCAUAUAUACAUGUUAAUACAAUCAUGGAAUCAAGGAAUGCAACAUUCUUUGAGAAUAUUUUUCCUCAUAAAAUGUUUUGUGAAGCAAGGUUACAAAAAUGUUCGUUUGAUGCUAUAACGAGUGAAUCUCACAGUAGAUCAAAUGUUGAGUUAACGAACAAUGAGGAACCCCGACGAAGUAAAAGGAUGAGGAUCUCAAAAUCAUUUGGGCCUGAUUAUUUAACUUAGUUGUUAGAAAACGAACCUCAAACAUUUAAAGAGGCCAUGUCCUCUCCUGAAGCUCCAUAUUGGAAAGAGGCUGUGAAUAGUGAAAUUCAGUCCAUUAUGCAUAACCAUACUUGGGAACUAGUUGAUCUUCCAUUAGGAAGUAAACCACUUGGUUGCAAGUGGAUUUUCAAACGAAAAUUGAAGACCGAUGGGUCAAUAGAUAAAUAUAAAGCAAGACUUGUCGCUAAAGGUUACAAGCAAAAAGAAGGACUUGACUAUUUUGAUACAUACUCACCAGUUACUCGAAUUACUUCCAUUCGCAUGCUCAUAGCAAUAUCAGCUUUGCAUGGAUUUGAGAUACAUCAGAUGGAUGUCAAGACGACAUUUUCAAACGGUGAGUUAGAUGAAGAGAUCUACAUGCAACAACCCGAAGGGUUUGUUUCUUUAGGUUACGAAAAGAAAGUCUGCAAAUUAAUUAGGUCUCUUUAUGGACUAAAACAAGCACCGAAACAAUGGCAUGAAAAAUUUGACAGUGUAAUGAUGGUCAAUGGGUUUAAAAUCAAUGAAUGUGACAAAUGUGUAUAUGUCAAAAGCAAUGAGCAUGACUAUGUCAUUGUGUGCUUAUAUGUUGAUGAUAUGCUAAUUAUAGGUAGCAAUAUCAAUAUUAUUAAGAAAACCAAACAAAUGUUGGCCAAUAAAUUUGAGAUGAAAGACAUGGGUGUCGCAGAUGUUAUUCUAGGUAUCAAAAUUUCUAGAACCCCACAAGGGUUAGUGCUAUCCCAAUCACAUUAUAUUGAUAAAAUAUUGAAGAAAUAUAAAAAACAUGAAAUUGUGAUUGCAAAGACCCCAAUUGAUGGAAGUCUCCAUUUAAGUAAAAAUAAUGGAGAUAGUAUAGCACAAUUAGAAUACUCUCGCAUCAUUGGUAGUUCAGUACAUCAUGAGUUGUACACGUCCUGAUAUAGCGUAUGCGGUAAGCAAGUUAAGUCGUUAUACAGGUAAUCCAGGUCAUGAUCAUUGGAAAGCUAUCUUGAGAGUUUUGGGAUACUUAAAGCAUACUAAAAAUUAUGGAAUACACUAUACUCGAUAUCCUGUUGUACUUGAAGGCUAUAGUGAUGUCAAUUGGAUAUCGAGCACUAAAGACUCUAAAUCCACCAGUGGUUACAUUUUUACCCUUGGAGGCGGUGCUGUUUCUUGGAAAUCUUCCAAACAAACAUGUAUAGCACGAUCCACAAUGGAAUAUGAAUUUAUAGCCUUAGACAAGGCUGGAGAAGAAGCAGAAUGACUUCGAAAUUUUUUGGAAGAUAUUCCCAAUUGGUCUAAAUCAGUGCGUUCAAUAUGUAUACAUAGUGAUAGCCAGACAGCUAUUGGAAGGGCACAGAAUAUUAUGUAUAAUGGUAAGUCUCGACAUAUACGACGGAGACAUAAUACAAUCAGACAACUACUCUCUAGUGGAAUUAUCACAAUUGACUUUGUGAGGUCAAAAGAUAAUAUAGCGGAUCCACUUACUAAAGGCCUAACUAGGGAGUUGGUUGAAAAAUCAUAAAAAAGAAUGGGAUUAAAGCCUAUAAUAUGAAGUUAUCCAGAGAGGCAACCCAACCUAGUUGACUAGAGAUCCCAAGCACUGCAUUAAAAGAUUUUCCCAUUUUACGAAUGAUGAGGUAGUGCCAGUAUAGUUUUAGGGUAAGCUUUAUGCUUUUAGUGAUUUUUGUUAGUGAUAUUUAUUAACAAAAGAACAUAUACGAUGUUCUGUACAGGAAUCACCUAUGUGAGUGUGAAGGGGCCGCUUCUGUGAGAAUUUUUAAGGCAACAUUCUCUAAAACACUCAUGAGACCAGGCGGUGUUCAAGGCCAAAACGAACACAAACAUGAGAACAAACUUUGUUAUAAUGAGAAACUGUGUGAUAUCUAUUGUUUUAGUUUACUCUUGAACGGUUGACAUGAUCAUUAGAUUGGUAAUUAAACAUUUUAAUGAUAAUAAAAAGGUAAAAUCUUAAAAGGAUAGGUAGUGAAAAAAUUAAUUAUUGUUUCACACAGCCGAACUCGUUUGACGACGACAACAAUGUGCAUGUAAUGAAAAGGUUAUACCAUCAUUAUCAACACACUUUGGAAGCUCCUUCGUAAGUAUCUAUAUAUCGUUCAACACAAAAUCUUUGAACGUGGAACAACAACCAUCUUUUUUAUUUCAAAAUAAACCUUUUCUUUUUGGUACGGGGGCUUAAGUACAAAGUUAUUCCCAAAAGCAUUUACUUUUUUCAACCAUAGCCUCUAUUAGUGUUGUUAAUAAUGCUGAUGAAAUGUCAACAUAAUGGGUUUGAAAUAAAAAUGUGCUCCUAAGUUAAGCAAAGAUAUGAUAGACAACUCAAAUUUUGUUUAUUGUAAGUGGACAAAAUAGAAACAAUAAUACAUCAACCCAUUGUAAUGUUAAUGGAAUUUUUUUAGCAAGUCUAUGCAUAGUCAACCAAUUAUUUUAUUAAUGAUCCAACUUAACUUACUUCUAUUGUGACAAUUAAUCAAGGGCUAACAACAUAAAUGGCAAAAUAAAACAUUUCAUUUUGAAAAAUAUCAAAAAUUAAAUUAAAUUAAAUUAAAUUAGAAGAAUGACAAAGUCAUUUGUAGGGUUAUUAAUUAUGAAUUAAUAAUCUAUCAAAAUAUCCCUACUUUAAAUCCUAACCACCAAAUUUUCAUUAUAAUUAAAUUCACAUAAUUUUAAAUCCUAUUAAAAUAGUUACUCAUACAAAAUUUUAAAAUUCAAAUUGUAACUAUCAAAUCUUAAUUAUAUUGCUAAAUAAUUAUGAUUAAAAAAUCUAUUAAAUUACUAUUGGAAAAGCAUAAUAUUUCUUUUAUAAAAGAACUUAAAUUACGCUUAAAAAACAAAUUUGUUGGUGAAGAAUUCAUACUCUCAACAGUUCCAAAAUCAUGAGAAUGGUAAAGGGUGUAUUUUCAAAAAUAUUACUCGGUUCAAUUUGCAAUAAUUGAGUUUGGUUGAACAUGACAAACAACAUUUUAGCAAAUACUUUGUAUUCAGAAGGGAUUUGAAAUCUUAUAGUCUUUUCACUCAACCUCGUCGUAAAUGGAUGAUAAAUCUCAUAUCUUUCUAUCAAUUGAUAAUGUUGUAGAAACUUUACAUCUCAUAAUCAUCAACUUGCUUUCUUCCUCGAAUAUAUAUUCCCAAUUGAGAUUGCACAUUGAGCUUUAUGCUUGCCACUUUUUCUUGUGUAUGAAUUAUAUGAACUCAUGUCUUACUUUAGUCCAAAUCUUUCAAUGUUUAGAUAAUAAAUUUACAAACUCACACUUACGCUCGUGCUUUAUUUUCCAUUUUCAUCUUCGUUUCAUUCAUUUGUAGUCGGAUGUCCCUCCUUGAGAUUACAUGAGUCUUGCCUAUUAGGAUCAUUUGCAAACAGUACAUUACGCAUCAAACUUUUUAUCAAUUCCACCAAGCUUUUAAUUCAAUAUCUUCACAUUCACAAAUGAUUUCAAGUUUUGAAUCAAUUAAAUAUUCACUUAAUUAAUUUAUACGAAAAAAGAAUAGAUAUGAAUUCAAAUAUUAAAUUAUAAGAUGUGAAAAUUGUUUGAAUUUUAAAAUUUAAAUCUAAUAAGAUUUAUAUGGAUUUAGUUAUAAGGUAGAUGGAUAGUAAGUUUAUUGUUUUCGAUUGUAAUUGGAUUUUUUAAAUCACUAAGAACAUUAUUGGAUUAAAAAAAUAGUAGAACACAUGCAACAAAGUUAUUUACUAUAAAUCUUAUUAAUUUUUUGUUUUGACAUCCUUCAAAUACAACUCUAAGGAUGUAGGAUUUUGAUAAUACUAUUGUAUGAUAAUAUAUGUUUAUACACGAAUAUUUGUAUGUUUAAUUUACCAAAUUGUCGUAUUUUUUUAAAACAAGUUUGAUUAGUUUUGGUUGUACAUUUUCAAUGUCUUUUAUGCAAAUCAUUUUGUACUAAUAAAUUAUUUUUUAAAAAUUCGUAUUCUAACUUCAAUACACAAAUUAUAUUUAUUUAAUUUACAAAAUCAUUCUAGUUUCCAUAAAAACAAUUUAUAGUAAUUUCUUUAAAUACGACGUUCACUUUCAACAUUUCUUUUAAUGUUGGGUUGUUACGUGUGAAUAAAUUAUAUUUUUGUUUUUUUAAUUAAUAUUCUAAAUGUAAUACACAAAUUGCUAUAUUUAACAAUUGAUUUAAACCAAUGAUUGUCACCAUAAUUUCAUUCAAACAAAACUAUAUUUAUUUAUUAUUUUUUUAAAAAAAAUCAUAUUCUAACUCCAAUACAUAAAUUUCGUAUAUUUAAUUUACCAAAUCGUCAUAGUUUUCGUAAAACAAUUUGUAGUAAUUUCUUUAAAUACAACAUCCAUUUUCAACAUUUUUUACGUAAUCGUUACGUGAGAUUAAAUUAUUAAUUUUUUUAAUUCACAUUUUAAAUUCAACACACAAAUUUCAUAUAUUUAAUUUACCAAAUCGUCUUAGUUUUCGUAAUGUAGCAGCAAAAAAGAAUACGGGUCAAAUGGUGUAAUCACAAUAAAUUACUUGAUUCAAAAGUAAAAAAUAAAAAUAAAAAUUUUAAAUUUAUGUAAUUGUUGUAAAAAUUCUGUUGAUGACGAUCAAAAUAACUUGUUGCGUUGUGAUGAAUCACUGCCCUGAAAGCAAAAUUCAGUCAGACCGUGGUGCUAAUCUUAUUGUCGAUUGCUCCCCAAAGUUAACAUAAGUUCCUACUUCUGACGUGCACUCAUCGAAAAUAGAAAUAGAAACGAUGAAGGAUUGCUCAGAACUUUGUAUCUCCGUAGGGAGGAUGAUUUAGAGAGAAAGGUAGAGAUGAGAAGGUUUUGUCCAUAAAAAUGAACCGGAGGAUGACUCUAUUUAUAAUGGAGUCCCCCUUAACUGUCAUCUGAAAAUUCGUCAAAAAAAGGGCGUGGAGGAAAGAUCGGCAACGGCGUGAAGUGUAGAAAACCGGCUAUUCAAGACGACUGUAGAAGUGGCCCGAAUUGCAAUGCGUGGCAAAACUUUUACGACUGCAUCACUAAGUGACACAUGUCGGGCACUUAGGGGAACUAAAAAACUAUUCGGAUGAGUAUAAAAAAAAUACAUCCUUAUUCGCGCAAGCGCGGUUGCCCGAGCCCACCCAUCCGACCGUACAUAUAAGAAUAUUUUAGAAAUAUAAAUGAAAAAAAAUCUUUAUUAAUGAUCUUCUCCUAUAUAAUAAUUGGGAAAUAAAAUAUGAUUUUAUUAAUUAAGAGAUAACCGCGAGAAUGUCAAAUUUUAGUAUAACAAACUGAUACGGUGUAUUUGUCAAAUAUCACAUAGUCUCAUAUACGGUGGAUUUGUAAACUACAAUCAGUUUUGGAAAAUAUUAACUAAUUUAUGAUAUUUACGUGAUUGACAAAAAAAAUUCACUAUCCCCUAAAUAUAUGUUUAUAAUUCAUAACUAAUUUUUUUAUUUUUAGUAUUUAAAUUAAUUAACAUUUAUUUAUUUAAUUCAUAAAACUUAUGUUUAAUAAAUAUUUUCCCUACAAAAUUGUUAAAAGAUUUCCAACUAUUCCUCGUUCAUUAGAAUUCAUAGUAUUUUGAAUUGAAAUAUUAUUAAAUCUAGUCUUUAAAAUAAUAUAUAGUUAUUUUAAUUUAUAUUUCAAAUUAUACACAUACUUUGAUUGAUUUUUAUUAUAAAAAAAUUAAUUUAUUGUGUCUCUUUUAUUAAAACAGUGUAUUUUAAAAAUAAUAUUUAAAUUUGGUAAACUUUAACUAAAUUUGCUAUUUUGUUGCUAGACAAGAUUGCAACAACUUCCCUUAUAAUAAUGCAAAUAUAUAUACAAGAUUUUCAAAUUUAUUAUAUUUUAAACAAUUUAUUAAAUAAUACAUAAUAUAUAUUUUUA